AAGCUCCCAAAUGUCUGUUCUUUUAACAUUUUCUAAGUGCAAGAGCUGCCGAUAACGCGAAGGUAUUUCAUCUUCAUCGAAUUGUUCUCUAAUGAGUUGAAUUAAAACUCGAGCCAUGUCAGCUUCAUAGUUUCCCAGCAGAGUAGUGGCUAUAAUUUCGGACUCCGUAAGAAGGUUUUGAAAAAGUGGAGUUAAAUUUGUUGAAUCAGGCAAAGUUAACGUGCCUUCUUCACCUGCUAACACCAGUUUCAACCUCUCACAAAAUAGUGUGAGGUUAAUUUCCAUAUCUUUCCCUCUCUCAGUAGUACUCAGAGGUACGUAUUGUUAUUUGUUAGUGUUGAUGACGAAAGCUGAAUAAUCAAAACAACAGUGUACACAAUCAACAGAAGGCGAAGUAUGUUAAGUUGAGAUCAAAGGAUAUAAAUGAAGGAAAAGUUUAAGUACUCCGUUGAAAGCCAAAGUUGCUUUGGCCAAUUAAUUUAUAAGUGAAGGAAAGAAUAAAGUUAGUCCUCGAUGUCUUUUGAAAUUAGAAAUACAUUUUGAAUGCUUUAAUAGAUGCAGAGCAAGCUGGCUCGAUGUCUAACUAUUUUAAGAGCUAAAAUCAUUUAUUAGAAGUUGUGGCAUUGAAAAAAACUGGCUUGAUAUCCAAUUUUGUUAUUUAAUGUCUCACGUGAGAGUAAAUAACUGUUGUGUUACUGGCAGAUGAUUGAGACGGACAAGUUUGGAACAUUGUUCGAGACUGAAACUACACAUCAGUCUUAGAAAAUUGUAAUUUUGUUGAAAAAUUAUAGAUUGAAAAAUUAUUGAGACGGACAAGUUUGGACCAUUGUUCGAGACUGAAACUACACAUCAGUCUUAUAAAAUUGUAAUUUUGUUGACUUAUCAUGAUUUUGAUUGCCUCCCAUUGAUUUUCCUAUGAUGUCUCUGUAGAGUGGCUAUGCUUACAUUUUUAGGUAUUUAAUUCUAAAAAUUAACUUAUUAGAUGGAAGGAUCAAUUCUACCUGUAAAUCUAAGUGGCUUCCCUUUACUAACUCAUAUAAGACACAACAAUAAUUUUCUUCGAAAAAAACCACCAUCGGAGGGCUAUUUUCGUUCAACAUACAUGAGUUGUUCCGCCACCAUAUUUUGAGGGUUUGCUUCUAAUACAACUUGGGGAAGCUAGGGGUAAGAUUUCCAAGUAUCAACAUAAAAACCUUGCCGAUUGGAUAGAAGGACCAAUCUUACUUAUAAGUCUAAAUGACUAAUUUUUGAGGACACAACUCAACAGACCAAUAUAAACUUUUGGCGUCCCAUUUUAUUACUUUUCAGUGCUUUACUUUUGCUGUCUAUAGCCCUACUAUUCUAUUAAGCAGAAAAUAUUAUCUAUUUUCUUUCCAUUUUAUGUAUACCCCGAUCUUUACCUCUGAUUGGUUGUAGAUUCUUCUGUCGCUUUGGGGUUAGGGGAUGGUUUUCAUCAAGAAAUGAUAAAGGAUUGUUAGUUGUGUGACAAACAGCAUUAAUAUGAAGGAUGAUGAUUGUUCUUUUCAAGAGUUUAUAAUGACAUAAUUCUGCUUUGGUCUUUUAAAAAAAAGUAAUUUAGAAAUGAGGAGUAUGUGAGUGAUGAUUUUUACAAAUAAAUUGCAUGCGUAGUGAUGAUUUUGACACAUGAAAAUGUAAAAAGAAAUAUAACUUGUGAAUAAUAAUCGAAGUACCCUGCUAUUGUUAUAUUGAGUAAUCAAGGACUUCGAUAUUCGGACGAUACAAGCAACACAAUCAAAUAUUAGUUGGAAGGCAUAGCAAAAUUAGAAUGUAGAACAAACUGGGUAUUGAUAAAUGGAUGGUUUUGGAAGAAUUGAAAAUGAUGGCAAAAAAAAAACAAAGUUAAGAGAAAAGAGAAAGAGCAUUUGAACUUUACUUGUAAGUAAAGGCAAAUAUCUUGGUUCAAGAAAAGAUAAGAGAUAUCAAACUAGCAAUAGGAAAAAGGAGGAAGGUUAAGACAGCAUCUUAACAAAAGCUAAAGAAAAGAAAAACUUAGUUCAAGCAAAGAACAAUGUGCUAAUGUAGUGUAAUCUUGUUUAAUUUCUUUUUCUUCUCACAUUUUCCAGGGCUUAAAUAAUACAAUGUACAUUUUCAAGCAAAGAACAACAAAUAAAUAAUACAAUAUACAUACCCAGUAAAUUAAAAAAAAUAUAUUAUUCAAGUUUGUGGACAAUACUGUAGCCAUUGCGUCGUCGAAAUCUACUGACAGCUGAAACAAAGAAAGAAUGGAUGAACGCUGGAUCACAGUUGAAAUUGAAGGUCUGGUAGGUGAUGUUUCCCUCUCUGAUUUUACCUAAACAAAUACAAGAAAAUAAGAAUCACGAAUGAAAAUCUGUUAUUACACUGUUCUUACUUAUUAAAAUACAGAGGUUUCUUUGUUUCUCUGCAGCAAUGUCCAUGGCUAUUAGAAACAAGAACAAUUAGACCAGCAUUUGCAAGAAUCUUUUAAGGUAUUACUGCAGAUAUAAAUCGACUGAGGAAAUGGAAAAAUUGAAUACCAAAUUAGGCAAGUUAACUGAAGAUUCAGUUAUCAUAGAAGAAUAAAACUCAUCCAAUUCAAUCCAUCAAAUUUCAUUAAGCAUUUCCAGAACUCUUGAUUUUCUUUCUCAGUAGCCAAACAACUUCAAUCUCAUUUUUUUUUUUCAACAAUGAGUUCUCAAACCACUCUGGUAUCAUUUUAAGACAUUCUCGGCCUUGUACUCACCAUCAAAAUGGAUUGGUUGAGAGAAAACAUAGGCAUAUUGUUGAAUUAGGUUUGACUCUGUUGGCUCAAGCUCAACUUCCUUUUAAAUUCUGGUGGGAUGCAUUCCAUACUGCCCUAUAUCACAUCAAUAGAUUACCAUCUUCUGCUUUCAAACUUUCGACCCCAUGUGAGAAGAUAUCCAAGCACAAACCUGAUUAUGAUUUUCUCAAAUGUUUUGGUUGUAUUUGUUAUCCUUACUUGAGAGACUAUAACAAACAUAAGUUUGCCUAUCAUUCCAGUAAGUGUAUAUUCAUUGGUUAUAGUCCUUCACAAAAGGAUUAUAAAUGCUUACAUUCUUCAGGUCAAGUCUAUGUGGCAUGACAUGGUAUCUUUGAUGAGUCAACCUUUCCUUAUGCUACUGAAUCUGUUUUUCAUAGUCACACAAAUUCUGAUUCUCAUUCUUCAAAUUUAUUUACUCCACAGCAUGUCUAUUAUCUUUCUACUUUACCUGUCAUACCAGUAUUUCUAAAUAACAACACUGAUAAUCUAAACUCUACAAAACUAAAAUGCCAGCUGUUUGGUGUUAGCGAUAAGAAACAACUUACCACAACCAUUAAUUAUCCAUAAUUUCAUUGUUUAUCCUCAGUUUUCUUCAUAAAUGUUACAGCGUUCUUCACAACAAAGUGCAAGGGCAUCUCAAAAGUUCUGAAAUAAUACCUCAAUUCUAUUGCAAAAAUAAAUAAUCUCAAACAAGAACCAAUAAUCAUAUUUCGUUACUGUCAAACACAAUGCAUCUGAGCAAAACAUUGGAAGCCAACACCAGAAUACAUAUGAAUAAACAAUUAAAGAUAGAGAAAAAAGGCUUAAACCUUGGGGGAAAAAAGUGAAAAAACAUGAAAGACAAAUUACACAUGUGCAGUAACCAUCGAACUUAUCAGUGACAGCUGCAUCCAUUACAUUGCUCCAACAACACAAUGGCAAACCACCAGUUUCAAAUUGAGGAUAGCUAUUGAGAAUGAGAAAGUGUCCAAAACGCCAUAAAUAGACAUGUUCCUAUUAUGCAUAAUUUACAUUAUAGGCAAAUAUUCUUAUACCAUCAAAAGCAAAACAUGACACUAUAACAAUUGACUCCCCCCCCCCCCCCCCCCCCCCCGCACACAAAAAAAAAGGAAGAAACAAUACCGAAAAGAUUGAAACAGGUAAGGCUACACUGAGCACAGGAUGCCAUGAAACAUAAUCCAGGAACCAAAUUAAUAAAGAAGGAAGGCAAACCAUUAUUUAACAAUCUGUUUUGUAUUAGGGAAAGUCCGAUAAAAUCUACUUAGGGAUAAUUAGAGAACCUCAACUAUUAAUCACACCUCAUAAAUGAACUAACAUUAACCAUGUACCAUCCCCACAUCAGACAAACAUUCUCUAUACUUCUGAACCUAAUACUUCCAUCUUCAAUUGGGGUUUUUUUCUUUUGUGGGGGGGGGGAUAAGCUAUCGUUUUUCUAAGCUUGCUUACCUUCUGUGUGGGACUGAAAUACUGAUUUCGAAUCAUUAACAGUAAAAUUGGAAGCUCAUGAAAAAACAAUUUUAUCUUUUAACAAAAGUUAAAAUUACAUCUCCAUAUAAAUUCUCUUUUCAUUUCCUUCAAUUUUCUAAUUAAGCUUAAAAAAAUGUACCUUCAACCACAAAGGGGUUUAAAAUUUAAAAUAUAUAAAAAAAUAAAUUCAGAUAACAAUAAUUAAUUUAAUUAAAAAUAUAAAUAGAGAUUACAGAGAAAGAAAAAAUAGAGAAAGACCUGAUGUUGAGAGCAUCGACGGCCGGCAGUGACCGGCGGAAGAUGGCGAGAGAUGGCGGCGUGGGCCAUUGCUUGCGCAUCAGUGAGUGUCUCGAGUGAGAGAGUGAAGGUAGGGAUGGCAAUGGGGAGGGAGGGAGGGUCCAAUCUCUCUGUACCCAUCUCCCAAUUUGUCCCCGUCCCUCCCCGUCCCCAUUUGCUUAGAAUCUGUCCCCUACUCGAAUAAUAAUUCUCGAAUAAUAACAUAAAAUGCUCGAGGUUCUCGAUUUAUGAAUAAUUAAUAUAUUUUUUAUUUUAAAUUUUAAAUUAACUAUAUUAAAAUAAAAAAUUUAAAUAAAAAUAAAAUUUGAAAUAUAUUUUAUAUUAAUAUUGAUCCAUUAUAAAAAUUACAUACAAAAUAUAAAUUAUCAAAAUAAUUAUCUUUAUCAAUCUUCAUAAUCCUACAAUAAAAAGAAAAAAAAUUUACUUUUAUAUUGAUAAUAAAAUAAAUGUAGAUAAUUAAUUAAUAUUUUUAAUAAAAUAAAAUUAAAAUAAAAUAAAAUUUUUAGGCUAAUAUAAUCUACCCGACUUUUUUAAUGUGUUAAAUAAAAAUUUAAGACUUUAAUUAGUUAAUUAGGCCUAAAAGCUUAAUAAUAUAAAUAUUUUGAUAUUUAUUAUUUUUACUAAUAUUUAUAAUUUUAUAAUAUAUUCAAUUUUUAUUAUUUAUUUACUAGUAAUUUUAAAAAAUAAAAAUAAAAUUAAAAAAUAAAAUGGGGGAAAUGGGGAGGGGAUGGGGAUUCCACCUCAUCCCCGUCCCUUCCUUGUAGGGAUGGCAAAAGUUCGGGUCGGGUCGGGUCUGGGGCUGCCUGGAACUGACCCGGAUUUCACACAUAGCUGCCCGGACCCGGACCGUGCCCGGAUUUUUUCUAUGCGGGCCGGGUAUAUGGCUGGCACUAUCCGGGCACAGGUUUUUUUUGGGUUUUCUCUACCCACAUUUUCAAAACUGGCUAAAAAAAAAUUGAUAGAAAAGGCUAAAUAAGUAAACAAAAUUGCAAUUGGGCCUGGAAAUUCAUAACUUAUCCCUGAAUUAUAUAUAUAUAUAUAUAACUUCUAAUUCUUUGUUGAUACAAGUUUUUUCUAAUUCAUUAUAAAAUCACAUUAUAUAUAUUAUUUCCUCAUCAGAUAAUAAGUGACAAUUGCUCACCAGUUUAUUAACAUCUCUACGAAACCGUCUUUUAUGGCAUUAUUAUUAUUAUUGUUGUGGCUGAAACCAUGUAGUAUGUGAUUGAAGAAAUUGCAUUAAAUGUUGGAGUGGAGGUGAUGUAGGUGAGAAAGGAUUCCCUGGAGACUGUUAAACAAGACACAAGGCAUUUCCGGAAGAAAACAGAAGACAACUGGAUAAGACAAAACGGACAAAAGGGUAAGAGAGGUGGGUGGGAAAUUAAGAUAGGCAAUUUGUCCAGCAGAAACAUAAUAAUACCUCGUGGUCGUGGGUCGUGGCUGUGUUGGUGAAGUUGCAGCUGAACAAGAACAGUUGAUGCUGUCGCGUGGUGGCUGCCGUUGAGAAGAUGACCAAACGAUGAAGAGCUCUGUGACGGGAUGGUUGUGCUUUGCGAGGAGAAAUAGAGUUGACUGAGGAAGGUAAGAGGUUCGUGGAGGGAAAGGUGCGGACAACACUGCAUCAGUGCCGGUGGGUGGUGGAGAGACGGAGAGAGGUGCCGCCGAUUUGGAGAUUUCAGGGUGGGUGCUGACUGCUGCAGUGCUGCGUUGUUCUGCAAGUUGCAAUCGCGAUUUAGGGUUCAGUACCAGUUUUGGGGGCAAUUGGGCAAAGUAAAUUUUAUUUUCGCUUUUAUAUUUUCUUUUUUUUUACUUAAUAAAAAACCGGGCAUUGAAAAUCAAUGUCCGGAUCCGCUUUUUCCAUUCAUGUGGUCCGGGUAAAACCCGAACCGCACACGCCGGGUCUGGGCCGGAUCCGGUCCGGGUGGGUUUUUCUGCCACCUCUACUUCCUCGAAUAAGAAAUUUGGUAAAAAAAAUUUCCCGUCCCUUCCUCGAAUAAAAAAUCGGGUAUAAAAUUAUCUCUGUAUCCUCCCCGAAUGAGAAAAAUCCCCGAAGAUACCCAUACCUGUGGGGAUUUUUACCAUCCUUGAGUGAAGGGUUUUGUUUAGGGUUUUGGGAAAUGAAAAAUGUAAAUGUUUGAUUUUGUUGCUAGAAACUUCUUCUGCCGCUGCUUUUUAUUUUCGCUAUAAAAAUAAUAAUUUGUUAAUCAAAUAUUUUCUUAAAAAAGAUAAAUUUCUAGAACAAAAUUUAUAUUAAAUCAAAUUGUAAAAAUGUGGAAUAGGGCUAAUUUCUCCUUAAUAUUAUUAUUAGUAGAAGUAGAUUGUCGAACUAGUCUUGAUAUAUUUUAGAGUUGUAUUAUAGAUGUAUACGUAUCUAGAUUGUAAUUAUAUUUUAAAAAAUAUAAUUUUUUUUAAUUAUUGCACAAUAAAUGUAGAAAAUAUCUAUAAAAUAAUAUUAUUAGAACUAUGAUACAGCACCUCAAUUCCACAGUAGCUUAAUAUUAUUAGAACUAUGAUACAGCACCUCAAUUCCAAACGCACUCUAAUUAAAAAAUUUAGAAUUCUUGGGCAUGGAAAGAGUAGUAUUAAACAUCAGAAAGCUAAGGUUGUUCUGUAAAAGAACUGAUAUUGACAUUAUUUUAUUUUGGUUUUCGGGGAAAAAAAUAUUUGUUGACAAGCAAGAAAAUAUUUUUAUAUUUUACAAUUUAUUAUACAUAUUUUAUCAUAUUAAAGUAAUUUUAAUAAUAAAUAGAAACAUAAUAUUACAAUAAAUAAAUUAAAGUUUAAAUUAUUUUGAAUAUUAUAAAAAAUAAUUUUAAUAUUAUUAAUAGGAAGACUUUUGUUAAUUGUAAAAUCUUUUUAAUCCAAAGAUUUGUUUAAAAUUCUUAUAAUAAAUACAAAUAUAAAAUUAAAUAUCAAAAUUUAAAUUUUUUAAUAUUAUUUAAAUUUUAAAAAUACUUUAAUGUUAUUAGUCUUCUACAUAAAUUAUAUUAUUUAUAUUAUAUUUGUAUUGAUUAAAAUCUUUUAAAGUCGAUCUUCUAGUUAUUAUAUGCAAAAGGUAUUAUCAUGUUACAAUUUUUUGAAAUUUUAGGGAUGUAGGUUACGAUGAUUUAUUUCACUUUUGACAAAAUCCAAUGAGAAAUAUGAUAAGAGAAAGUCAAUUUAAUGUUCUCGACCUUUAUGAAAAAAAGUAAAAACUAAGAAUUAUUCAAUUUUAUAUUUUUUGCAUCCACCAAAUAAGUUUUGCACAUUUAUGUUAUCAUAAAACGAAAAAAAGGGUUUACCAAAAAAUGGUACCAAGCAUACCUUUAAUGUCCCACGUGAUUUCUUAUUAAGCCCAAUAUUAGAUAUAUUUAUACAUUUUACUGCAUUAAGUAUUUUAAUUAUAAAAGAAGUUGGUCCUUCCUCUAGUUACAAAAGAUAACUUUAUUUCAAGACUACCACUAAAUUCUUACGUAGAAUUAGUGCAAGGCCAAGAGAGAGUAACACAAUUUUACUUUUCCAUUACCAUUUUGAAAAUAGAAAGAUAUGGAUCCGUGUAUUUAAGAGUUAUUGUAAAAAUCAUACAAUUCAAUUUCCUGACGUGUAUUAUGUAUAUUUAGGCACAUUUGCCAAAAGCAUAAAUAGAUAGAAAGUAAAUUUACAAUCCACCCUUACUCACAAUUAUUGAAGUGAAGAUGCAUUACAACUGUCACUACUUUAACUUUAUUUAUUUAUUUGUUUUAAAUAAAAGUGUGAGAGAGACGGUGAACAUCAUGGACGAUAACAAAGGUUAAAGCCUAAAGGUGACCCAUUUUCUUUUUAAAGUGCUCUGCUGAAAGCCUAACUUCCUUUGGAUCCGCCGAAGUGGCCGAAGUGGUGGGCUGCUGCCCUCACAAGCAUUGUGAGGGCAGCGGUUCUAGCCCCCACAAAAGCAUUGUGGGGGUUAAAUGUUCUUUAUAUUUAAAAAUUUUUCUCCCUUGCGAAAUACAAGUGGAGUAUGGACAUCCCUCUCCUGUGAGGGGUUAUUUGUUUGGGCAUGUACUUCAUAGAAUUUAAUGUAAUAAUGUAAGUCCCAAUAAUGUAUAUCUGAUUGUAAAUAUCAGUAUAAUAUCUCUGCUACAAUAGCAAUUAUUGUAAAUAUUUGUGUAAUACAGUAAUCUGAUGAUUAAUCAGUAUUCAAAAAAAAAAAAACUUCAUUUGGAUCCGCCUAAGUUACUGCUUUGUAAAAUUUUAUAAAGCCCCUUAUACUCUAUAUUAUUUAUAAUUUGUUCAUAAAUAUUAUAAAACUUUCUGCAUUAUAUAAUUUUAUUGAGCCCCUUGUACUAUAUUUUAUUUCAUUGAAACCCUUAAAGUACCAAUUCGCCCUCUAUAAUUUUAAAUUACUAAAAUACCCUCCAUUUAAUUAAAAAUAUAAUGAUUAUUAAAUGAUUAUAAUUAUCUGGAGUACAAAUUCAGUAAUAAACAAUAACUAAAGUAUUAACAAUUUAUUCAUCAAAUAAAAUACUCGAGAUUUCAGCCGACAAAUCCUCUUGUCUAAACUAAAAAACUCAUAUCCCUAAAAUCUAUUUGUGAAAUGUUAGAGAUGAGUGGUGAUUUGUCAACUGGGUAAAUAAAUUUAUGCAUAAUGUUUCCGGUAUUGAUAAAUUACAUAAUAAUUAUUACAAAGAAAUCAUAAAUUGGAAACAUUAAUCAUUUUACAAUAUGUUACAUAAGUAAGAUAAAUCUCAUAGUAAGUUAAGUUAUAACGUAAUAAAUAUUUUCAACAUAUACUUAUUUAAGAAGUCAUUUAACAAUAAUAUUUUUUAUAUUUCAGUUGAUCAUGUCAUAUAGCGUUAUCUAAACUCUUGGCCAUAUUAUUAUUACUCAAUUUUCUCCCAAAAAAAAAAAAAAAAAAACAAAAACAAACAUGAUUAAUGAUUAGAGAAAAGUCAUGCCUUUUAGAAAGAAUACGUAUACAAGCUAUCCAUACUUUAUCUUACCAUGAUGGUGAUUAAAUAUAUUUUUAAAAUAGAUUUAAUGCACAAAUAUGAUGACUUUUGGCAAAAAUUAGUUUCGGAAGAUAUAGUGGUAGAAAAUAGUGAUGAUUAUUGUUUAAAUGUGUAAAUAGUCUAAGCAUAGCCCGUAAUACCAAUAUUCAUUUGCACCUUCAUUUGGAUUAUCAUAUUUUAUGAUGUUCUUUCAUUCAUAACCAUUGUUCAAAAUUUGGAUUUGAUCAUAAAACAAAACUAAAAAAUAUUAGAGAUACUAACAAUUGAGUCCCAUUUUAAGUCCCAAUACAAUGUGUUAUUUCUCAAUGUUGUGUCAUUCAUUAAUUAAGUGAUGAAUUUCAGAAUUAAUAAUUAGUUCAGACUUUAAUUAAGAUUUAAAUGUUAGAAUAUCUAGCAUCAUUCAAUCACAAUAAACAAAAUUCAAAUUGAAACGGCAAUAUUGUAUUUUCUUUAAUUAAUUUUGAUGCUGAAGCAAAUAUUUUGCUUGGGUUUUUCACUUCUUGAUUUUGAUUGGAAAAGUUUCUGAGACGAAGUAUUUUGGAUAAUUUUUUCGGGAUUGAAACCACAACUUGGUAGAGGAAAUUAGUUGGAGUAGUGAUGGCUUUGUCUUCAUUUUUGGUUCCUUUUGUGUCGGCAGCCCCUUACUAUUCUCUUGACCCUGAGUUUGAGAUAGAAAUUUAUCAACCUCCAACCCCACAUCCACAAACAAGUUGAUUGAAACAAUUGCUCUUUUAAUUAAGAGGACCCAAAUGAUUUAGGUUUCAGUUCUUAUCAUUUGUCUAUUAUUUAUUUGAAACAUUUAUUUUGAGCGUUACUGAUCUUAAUUAUCUGUAUUUCUCCAAUUAUUGAAGCAUUUCAAGUGGCCACUUUUUCUCCUUUUUAUAUAUGUUUAUUUUUUGGAGUGAUCAAACGGGGGCAAAAUCAAGUAUUCGCUGGUCUGUAGUUUAGCCAACGAUGGCUGAUCCACACAGUUGAUUAUAUGAUACUAUUAGCUCUCAAAAUCUUUCUUAUUUGAGAAUACAAGUUGCCCAAUAGAGUUGAACUAUGUUACCCAACUCCAUGCUCAUACAUUAAAUGUUUAGGUAGUUUUACAAAAUGAUAGCAGCAUGCCAAAACUUGUUGUUGUCAUUUUCGACAUUUCAAAUUGAAAAAUAUGCAAGCAAUCUUCAGUGAACAUUACGUUUUUAUUGAAUAAUUUAAAUGGCCAGUAAAUCAACAGUCCGUGAGUUUUAAAUCUAUUAUGACUUAAUGUAUCUUUCUGUAUUCGUACACAGGUUAUAUUAUCAUAGUUUAAAAUUUUAAUAUUAUUUUAAAUGUUAAAAAUACUUUAAUGCUAUUAGUCUACUACACAUGUUAUAUUAUUUAUAUUAUAUUUGUAUUAAUUAAAACUUUUAAUGUAAAUUUUCUAAUUACUAUAUUGAAAAGGUAUUAUGGUUAAGAAAAAGUUUUGGCAUUUCUUCUUGAAAAUUUGAGGGUCUGCAUGACAAUUUUUCCAAAUUCUAAGGGUAUAGGUUUGAAAAUUUAAUGUUCUUUAACUUAAUGAAACAAAAGGGGGAAACCAAGAACUAUUCAAUUUUGUAUUUUUUGUUUGUAAUUCAAAAAAUGCAUCCACCAAACCAGUUUUACGCAUUAAUGCUGUCAUAAAACAAAAAACAGUUUGCCAAAAAAUGGUACCAAACAUAUCCUUAAUGUCUCACAUGAUUUCUUAGUAAGCCCAUAUUAGAUAUAUUUAUACAUUUUAGGUAUUUUAGUUAUAAAAGAAGUUGGUCCUCCCCCUAUUUAUAAAAGAUAACUUUGUUUCGAUAUUACCACUAAACUCUUACAUAGAAUUAGUGUAAUGUUAAGAGAGAGUAAAACGGUUUUCCAUUACCAUCUUUGAAAAUAGAAAGAUAUGGAUGCGUGCAUUUAAGAGUCAUCGUGAAAAUCAUACAAUUCAAUUUCCUGACAAGAAGUUGGUCCUCCCCCCCUUUUUUUUUUUUUUUCAAUUACAGUGUGAUGGAGACAUUAAGGAUGAGCAUAAUAGUUAAAGAUGACUCAUUUCUCAUUUUCUUUUUAAAGUGCUCUGCUGAAAGCCAAACUUCCUUUGGCUAAUUAAUUUAGAAGUAAAGCAGAGAAUAAAGUCCUAGAUGCCUUCUGAAAUUAGAAAUACAUUUUAUAUGCUUUAAUUAUGAUUAUUUGGUAGACUAAAGACCUAAAAGAUAUGUCAAAAGUAUAAAACAGAGCGAUUAAAGAAAAAAGAAAAAAAAAACAGAGCAUUUGUGACGUAGAACAAUUGGUAAAUAAAUCCUAAAUAUUUGAGUUGUUAAAAGCAAAUAUAACAGAGACAGUAAGAGAGAUGCUGAAACAGAAAACUAUUAGCUUAUCUUGAUUUUCCCACUAUAUUCAUUUUCGAUGCUUUUCAAACGAGAUUCUUUUAAUUCUUCUGGUGUCUCUUAUAGAUCUCCAUCCCACAUCUGCACUACGAACAAGUUGAUUAAAAUUAAAUACUGUUGGAGAUGUGGGGUGAGCGGUCAACUUGGUAAAAAAACUAUGUGUAAUAUUGUUAAUAAUAUAAAAUAUAUAAUAAUAAUUACAAAGAAUCAUAAAUUAGAAAAAUUAUUUAUUUUACAAUCUAUUUCUUAAGUAAGAUAAAUCUCGUAAUAAGUUAAGUUAUAAUGUAAAAAAUAUUUUCAAUUUAUAAUCAUUUAAGGAGUCAUUUAACAAUAAAAUCUUUCUUUUUUUGAUCAAUUGGUCAUGGUACAGAGCAUCAUCUAUAUUCAUGGUGAUAUUAUUAUUACUCCGUAUUCUCAAAAAACACGAUUUAACAUUUAGAGAAAGUUCCUACCUUUUAAAAAGAACAUGUAUGCAACAACUACCCAUACUUUAUCUUACCACGACAAAACUAAUAGUGACUAAAUCAAUUUUCUCGAAUAAAGCAAAAUUUCUUAAAAUUAAUUUAAUAUACAAAUAUGAUGACUUUUUGCAAAAAUUAGUUUUGGAAAAUUAGUGACAGAAAAUAGUAAUGAUUAUUGUUUAGAUGUGUAAAUAGCCUAAACAUGAUCCCUAAUACCAAUAUCCACGUGCAUCUUAACACCUUUCGUCAUAUUCUUUCAUUCAUGGUCACUGGUUCAAGAUUUGAAUUUGAUCAUUAAAUAUGUUCAAUAAUAUUAGAGAUCCCAACAAUUGAGUACCAACUUAAAUCCCAAUGCUAUGUGUCAUUAACAAAUGUUGUGUCAUUUAUAAUUAUUGAAUGAAUAAUUCGUUAAUUUAUUGAUAAAUGAAAAUUUAUUAAUUUAAAGAGAGAUAUUUUUUUUUUUGGGUUUUAAGAAGAGUUUUGUUGGUACAUGUACAUACUUAUAAAGAAAUAAACUUGUAAUUAUACUAUAUCUUUCUUUCUUUAUUCAGUUUGGUGGGAUAUUGUGAUAAAUCAUUGGAUUAAAAUGCAUUUCUAAAUUAAAACUUGUUAAAAUCUAAUUUAUUUGGGAAGCGCAUAUUAUUUGUCAGUCGUACUUCUCAAGUCUCAACUUAGCAAGUUAUUUCUAACUUGUCAGUCUCUAUUGGUUCUCUAAAGCUAAUAGUCUCGAAUCUCCCGCAUUUGAUAUCUUGCCAUUAUUGUUGGCAUUAACAUGUUACCUGAGAUUGGGAUUCAUUAAAAUCCUCAAUGUAAUCGGUGGAACGAAUGGAUUUCUUCUGUUCACCAAUCCACCAAAAUUUCUGUAAUUAAAUUCAAGAGUCAAGAUCUAUGCUUAUAAUCUAUUCUAACAGCUAAUAUUCUAUUUUAUAUUUACUUAAAUAUGAAGAGCUAUGCUUGUCAUUAACUUCAAAUGUGAUCGAAGCAGCCUUACAUCUGUAUAUUACUUAUUCCCAACCUUUUUUUUUUGACUUCAUAUACUUUAUUUUCAUGUUAUUUACUCUUUUUUUCCCCUUUCUGACAAUUGAGGUAGGGGGUCAAACUUGAAAGUAUCUUAAAAUCAGACAAAUUUUUUUUUUUUUAAGAUAGCUGCUAAUAUGCUCUAUUAGACAAUGACAAGUAAUAACCUAGUUGUUUGCAUUAGAAAUGAUAUUUUUUGUGGUGCUGAUAAAGAGGUUGAUUAUGAUUCAACAAUUUAAAAUAUGAAAACAUGUGGAAGACGGCCGCAAUUAAAUUGAUUGUAUGAAAAUAUUUCAAUGAAAUUUUAAAAAUUUAGUACUUGUUAUCUUAUCGAGAGUUUUUUUAAAUUAUAUUACUACUUGAACUUGGCUGCUUUUGUAUUGAAUUCCCAGCGUUGCCAUUGCUUCUACUCAAAAGCCAUUUAAGUUUGUGUAAGCUACCUAUAGUUUGAACAACAAUUUACUCAUGAAUUGUUGUUCAUAAUAGCAAUUUGAUUGAAAGUGCGGCUGCACUAAUUUUCUAGAUGAAUUUUUUCCUACAUGCUUGUUCUCGUAUGACCCAAAAUCCUGCUACAUCAGUUGUAUUAGAAAUUAAUACUGGGUUACAAUUAUGCAUCCCCACCAAUAUUUCUUGAGGAAAGAAACUCAUAUCGCCCCUAGGCUUUUAAUGAGGCUCAUUUUUAUGAAUCUGGAUGGCAUUAGAUAUCUCUCCGAAUAUUGGUGGGAGUAUAUCGCAGAUCAAUGGGCUAUACUACAAAGUGUAUGUACGUUGACUCUCAAUAAAUACAAACGAUUCUCUGAUAUGAUUCAAAACAUCAGUGCACGCAUCAUUUUAACGAGAGAGAAUAUUCUAAGAACGAAAUUGAAGGUGCAAUCAGCAACUAAAAUGAAGCCAGAAAUGUACACGCAUGAGGAAGUUUUCCUAGAAGAUUGAUAUUUCUUUAACUAGCAAACAAUACAAGUCCAAAGCUAACCAAACCAUACCUGCAAGUCCGGGGCUUAAAUGGAGUACUUGUAAGCAUAAAACAUUAAUCAAAACACAGUAUAGACACACACACACACCCCUACAUACAUACCAGCAAAUUCGAAAUAGAAAAAGGAGUGCAACUAUUCAAGUUUGUUGACAAUAUUGCAACCAUGGCAUAUUAAAGCAAAUCCUUAAAAUCAGCUAAACGAAACAAUGCCCUGUCUCAUGAAUCGAUGCUCAACUAAAAAUUGAAAUUGAAAGUCCGGCUGGUGUUGUUAUUAGAUAGAUAUAACAAGAUCUUUCUUUGACAGUUCUUAUUAGAUAGAUAUAAAAAGAUCUGCUUUGACAGUUCUUAUUAGAUAGAUAUAAAAAGAUCUUUCUUUGUUUCUCUGCUGUAAUUUGUGGCUAUCCCACUCUGUUUUGCCAGUCAAGCUGAGUCUACGUUGAGACAUAAUUUUGACAUCAGAAGCGGCCUCAAUUAGUUUGGCAUUUUUAUAACCUCCUUGAAGGUUUUACGAUAAACAUAAAUCUACUGACAAAGUGGGCAAAAAGAAAAUGCAUGUAAAAGUAUGAGUUAUCAAAUAAGAUUAAAACUCACCCAAUUCAAUCCAUCAGAUUCCGUAAGGAUACAACUGGAUGUCAUACCGCCACUCCAUAUUCUCGAAAGUCCGUAGUCCUUGUCUCAACUGUGUCUGGGGCCAGUGUAAGUCCAUUUUUGCGCAAGCUCUUUAUGCACCACAGCUCUUCUGGAAGCUUUCUCAAGUAAGCACACGGGUUGACAAUUAAGCAUUCAAGUUUCGGCAUUGCUCCAGCCCCCAUCGUCCACUCAUCUAGCCAAUACAUUGACUUCAGGUGCAAAACCUUAAGUUCGGGAAAGCUACUCAAGCCAACACAAGCAAGCUUUCUUCCUAAAUACGAGUUCUGCUUCAGUUUCAGCACUCGAAGGCGUGGAAGAUUUUCCAGAAUUGGCAUGGGAUCCUCCAUUAGCUCAGUAUUUGAUAAGCUCAGUUGGAUCAGACUUGGGGGAAAUUGGUAUUCAGACAGGACCAUCCGUGAGGGCUUGCUCUCAUUCACCAGCUUCAAGCAUUCAAGUUUGUGGAGUUCGCAUAGGCUUUUGGAAACCCCUGAAUGAUAGCAACUCAAAUCUCCAGAUAUCCGAAGAGUUUGAACAUUAGGUAGUCUGCCCAAUAUAUCAGGAGUACAACUACUGGGGUUUAAAGUUGAUAUGAAAAUGAGAUUUUUCAGGGAGCUAGAAUAAUUUUUUGGAGGUGCGGGCAGAGUGAUAGAACCAAAGUUUAGAUGCAUGAGUUUUUGCAUCUUCCAAAUAUCCUCUGGUGACUGAUCUAUGUAGCUAGAUGGCAUUUCUAGUGUUUGAAGGUUUAAAAGGGUGCAUAGCAGUGAAGGAAGGCAUUUGAGCGAAGGGAUAUUCAAUUUCAAAUACUUCAAAAGGAAUAAAUUUUCUAAUCCGGGUGGAUAUUGGUCCAGGACUGCAGAACCCAAGUUCAGUACCCGAAGGUAUUUGAACCUUUUAAAAAAAUUCUCGCAAUCUUUCGGAUUAAGAUGAUAUCUUUUUGGACUGUGAUUGAGAAAAGAUUGGAGAUACAUGUCAGAAUGUUCUAAAGAAAGGAACUCAAUCAAAUCAUCGACAAUGAAGCACCGUUUAACAUUUGCGGGUGGUUCCUCUUCCACGUCAUGCAUCCAGACAAAUCCCGUCUUCUUUGCCACCACAAACAAUGAAGUGUAGUAUACAAUACUUGGAAAAUAACACGAUUUAAUUGUGCCUCCGGCCCUUCUUUUACUCACUUGAAUGAAGCCGCGAUGGAUUAGUUCUUUCAAGUAAUGUUCGGCAGUUUCUUCACUGUUGUAUGGUAUGAAACCUUCAGCUACCCACAAAUGAUAUAAUUGCCUCGUGGAUAUCUCAAUGCCUGGAGGGAAGACACACAAAUAGAUGCAGCAGAUUUUCAAGUGAAAAGGUAACUCCAACACAGAACAAAUUCCAAUGAAAAUUGUCGGAAUCGUUUCGCCUUGAACAUAAUUUUCUAAUGGCAUACUUCCAUAGUGUAGGAUGAAAAAUUGCCAGGCUUCAUGCUUUAAUCUGAUCAAUGGUCCUCCAAUGAGCACCGAAUCAAGCCGAAUCUUCUCUCCAUUUUCCAUUUCAAGCGACGCAAGGAGGUCUGGAUCAGUGACUGUUAUCAAUACUCUGCUUCCAUUCUGAUUAUCAGGAAGAACUUCUUCAAGAUCAUCCCAUAUGUCAAUGUUAUCGCAGACAUCAUCAAGCACAAUAAAGUACUUCUUGUUUGUUAGGUAAUCUCAAAGAAUAGAUUCCUUGAAUUGAUAAUCUUCACCGAUAAUUACACUAACCCGAGAUGGAGGCAUCACAGACUUGAUUAUGUCAUCCAAUAUCUUGCCCAAAUCGUAGAAUACAGAAACCCUGACCCAAGCAAGACAGUCAAAAUAGAACCUGACAUGAUUAUUGUUGUAAGUAUCUGCAGCAAAAGCAGUCCUAUCGAAGCCACUGCUGUCGAGAAUUGCAACCACUGCAAGCCCAGAUGGUCCCUCAAUCAAUAGAUCAAACAACUUCUCUCUGCCCCUUUCAAAUUCACUGAUAUCGAGCCGAGGUUGUCCCUCAUUCAAUAGGCGAAUGAUUUCGUUACUUUUUUCACUGAUAUCAAAACCAUUGUCGCCGGGCGGAAGUUGUUGCAUCCGAUUUCUAAUAUCAAUGAUUUCACUGUGGACAUGAAGAGCCAUAUUAGUGCUGCUUUCACUUUCGUUUUCACUGUUUUGCUGCUGCAUUAUGUUGAUGAAGAAUCUGUCAAUGGCUUCCUCAGAUUCAUGGACAAAGUCAUUGAUGUGCACCAGAAUUUCCAAAAUAUCUGGUCUUUUAACGUCUUCUUCAUCGCUUUCUUCUAAGUCCAACAGUUGCAAAAAAGGAAAAGAUAUUUCGAAGUCAUCGAAUUCUUCUAGAAUGAGUUGAAACAAAUGCCGAGCCAUGUCAGCUUCAUAGUUUCCCAGAAGAGUAGCAGCAAUAAUUUCGGACUCCGUAAGAAGGUUUUGAAAAAGUGGGGUUAAAUUUGUUGAAUCUGGCAGCGGCAACGUGCCUUCUUCACCUGCUAACACCCUUUUCAACCUCUCACAAAUCAGUCGGAGGUGGAAUUCCAGCAUUUCUCCUUCUCUCCGUAGCACUCAAUUAGAAUUAUCUUCGAAUUCUAAUUUAAUUGACUAAGUAGUUAUAGCUAUUCUAUUGAUUAGGUCUAGCUAUUAUAUUCUAAAUGAUUAAUUGAGAGGUAUAGUUGAAAGAUUAAACACCAUGGAAGAAUUUGAAAGGAAAAUGCCAAGAAACUGUGUAAGUGGCUAAAUUCCACAAAUAUGACAUUAUUGCUCAUUUUUUAACUCAAAAAAAGGGUACGCAUUCAUUUAGAGAAAAGUCCAAGACGCGUGCUUUUUAAAAAGAACAGGUAUCCAACCUCUAUCUUAUUAAAUUACAACCAUGACAUAAUUGAUGGUGCUUAAAUCAAUUGUUUCUUUUUUAAUUUAAAGAAUUUUUCAUUAAAAAAAUAUUUUAAUAUCAAAUUGCCUUCAGUGGCGUAACUGCCUCAGGCCCAGUAACAGGACUAAUUAAAAAUUUUACAAUUUUUGGGCAUGGAAAUAGUAGUAUUAAACAUUAGAAAGGUAAGGUUGUUCUGUUAAAGAAUUGAUAUUGACAUAAUUUUAUUUUGGUUUUCGUGGAAAAAAAAUUUGUUGACAAGUAAGAAAAUAUUUUUAUUUUUUAAAAUUUAUUAUGCAUAUUUUAUCAUAUUAAAGUAAUUUUAAUAAUAAAUAGAAACAUAAUAUUACAAUAAAUAAAUUAUAGUUUAAAUUAUUUUGAAUAUUAUAAAAAAUAAUGUUAAUAUUAUUAAUAGGAAGACAUUUUGUUAAUUUUAAAAUCUUUUUAAUCCAAAGGUUUAUUUAAAAUCUCUAUAAUAAAUACAAAUAUAAGAUUAAAAUAAAAAUCAUAAUUUCAAAAUUUUAAUAUUAUUUUAAAUGUUAAAUAUACUUUAAUGUUAUUAGCCUACUACGUAGAUUUUAUUAUUUAUAUUAUAUUCGUAUUGAUUAAAAUUUUUUAAAGUCAAUUUUUUAGUUAGUACAUUCAAGAGGUAUCAUAGUUAAAGAAAAGAUUUUGGUGCAACUGUUUUAAAAUUUCAGGGUAUAAAUGAUAAUUUUUUUUAAAAUUUUAAGGAAGUAGGUAUUAUUUUUCCGACAAUUUAUUUUAUUUUGAGGGAAAUCCGAUGAGAAAUAUCAUCAGAGAACAUUAAUUUAACAUUCUUUACCUUUAUGAAAAAAGUGGAAACCAAGAACUAUUCAAAUUUUUUUUUUUUGUGUAAUUCAAAAAAUGCAUCCACCAAACAAGCUUAUCAUAAUUUUCCCACUUUAUUCAUUUUCGAUGCUUUUCAAAAGAGGUUCCUUUAAUCCAUCUAGCAUCUGCAGCCCCCACUAUUUUACAAAUCUCCAUCCCACAUCUACACUAUCAAAAAAGUUGAUGGAAAUUGAACCCAUUAAGUUAUGUUCAUUACUGGUCAUUAUCUUUCUAUGAGCCACUUAUUUUGAGCAUUAGCGAUCUUCUAAGGAAUCAUGCCUUUUCAGGAUCGUUUUCUUUCAUUUCCUUAUUGUAGUAGUUAAUUAAAUAAAGAACGAACAAGUGAACUUUGUCUAUUUCGAGGAAGAACUAGGUUUCCAACACUAGAGGAACUUUGAAGAAAAUUAAUUGGAAGCCUUUAUUCAUCUUUGAAGAAAAUUACGUGCCAAUGUAACCAAGGCUUUUAUUCAUCUUCGGACUAUGAAUUUAUACAAAAACAUUAACAGAAAAUAACAAAGACACAGCUAAAUGAUAGCAACAAGUGUUGAUUUAGUGGACCACUUCUACAAGUAAAUAAAAACUAAAUAUUUAUUUAAGGAGGGCUUUUGUUAGUAGAGUUUUUAUAAAUAGAAAUUUAACAAAAAAAAAUUAUAGUUAUUUAGUUGUCAAUGUCCAAAUUGAUGAAUUAUUGUUCUUUUUGUUAACAUGUGUUUGUUUUACUUAAUAAUAAAAGUUUAGUUUACAAUUACACCGGUGUCAAAUCAGCAGAGCAUUUUUGCAGCCAGUCACAUUAUACAUUAUAUACUAAUAGCAUCGGCAAGAGUUUUCGAUUGUUGCAACUUGCAAUGCACGCGAUGCGAGAAAAUGAGAAUCUUGUUUAAUUGCAAUAAUGACAAACCUAAUCCUUUCAUUAGGAGUAAAUUAAUAAUCGUUUGUUAUUAUUGAAUAUGUAUAAAGAAAGGACAAUUCUAUUCAUAGAUUCGACUUAUUUUUUGUUUAAAGUAAUUAAUCAUUCAACCAUCUUCAUUUGCCUCUGGCCAAUGCCCUUGUAGAUUAGUUGAAGCGUUUAUUACUUAAUUCAGAUAAUUACAACGUCCUUUUCGCUAAUUAAUUAUGAUUAUGAACAUUUUCAUAUAGCAAGUGGCAUUGUAGAUCUAAACUACGUUGCUAUUUCAAUACGUUAAUUAAGUGAUUCUCCUCAUUGUCAUCAACGUUAUAAACAGGAAUUGUGCAAACAGUACACAAUGCUGCAGCAAGGCGUGGGUGGCUAGAGUUUUGCAACCACCCUUGAGAUCCUGUGCUGCCAGUAGUAAAAGAAUUUUACGCCAAUUUGGUAAGCCCUGGUCAGCACAACAUUUGGGUAAGAAACUCACUUGUUCCAUUAGACUCUCGAGUUAUAAAUGUUUUUUAUAAUUUACCUGCUGAAAUUAAUUGUGAGUAUGCCAAGUUGCUUGACAAAUUGACCCCGCAACAAUGGAACACAAUUUUCACGACACUUACGGUAGAGGGUGCAUCGUGGGCUAAUGAGGAGGGGCAUGUAAUUAACAAGAUAGAUUUAAAACCCAUUGCUAAGGUGUGGGUGAAAUUUCUAAAAUCCAGGCUUAUGCCAACCACCCACACCACUACUGUUUCACAGGAAAGGUUGGUGCUGUUAUAUGCUAUUGUUAGAGGGCUUCCCAUAGAUGUGGGAAGCAUUAUCGAAAAAGAAAUUCGAGAUUGUGCCAUGAAAAACCACAAGGCUGCUGCCUUGUUAUUUCUUUCACUCAUAACCAGCAUAUGUGUAGUAUCAGGUGUUCGUCUUGAUGCAAAGGAUGAAAUUUGUAAUUAUAUUAUGGCUCCAUUUGGUAUAACUUUUUAAUUCGAACUUAUUUAAGGAGAAUUUUUAUUAGUAGAGUUUUUAUAAAUAGAGAUUUUACUAAAAAACAAAAAUUAUAGUUAUUUAGUUGUCAAUGUCCAAAUUGAUGAACUAUUGUUCUUUUUGUUAACAUGUGUUUGCCAGUCACAUUAUACAUUUUUGCAACUUGCAAUGCAAGCGAUGAGAGAAAAUGAGAAUCUUGUUUAAUUGUCAAUAAUGACAAACCUAAUCGUUUCAUUAGGAGUAAUUUCAUAAUCGUUUGUUAUAAUUGAAUAUGUAUAAAGAAAGGAAAAUUCUAUUCGUAGAUUCGACUUAUUUUUUGUUUAAGGUAAUUAAUCAUUCAACCAUCUUCAUUUGCCCCUGGCCACUGCCCUUGUAGAUUAGUUGAAGCGUUAAUUGCUUAAUUCAGAUAAUUACAACGUCCUUUUCGCUAAUUAAUUAUGAUUAUAUACGUUUUCAUAUAGCAAGUGGCAUUGUAGAUCUAAAUUAUGUUGCUAUUUCAAUACGUUAAUUAAGUGAUUCUCCUCAUUGUCAUCAAGUGGAAAAUAGCUCAAUUGUUUCCCUGCAUCGAUUUUCAUUGGUAAGUGAUUUCUUAUGAUAUUCGUUUGAGCUUUCCUUAUUAAAAAAGCUUGAGCCUUGAUCACCUAAUACUGAUAUCAAUUAACUUGUGAACGAUUUUGUAAUGAAAUUAGGAGUUAAAUAUAUAAGAUUUUUACGUGAUGAAUUUUGAUUUUUUUAAUUUUUUGAUGUAGUCAAUUUGCUAAUUUUAUAUAUUUCAUAUUCAACGGAAUUUGGGCACGGAAAGUUUGGAUUCUAAUAUUUAUAUAUUUAGCUUUAAUCAGCUUGACUUUAGCAAUCUUUUUCCCUCAUCAUUAAGGGAUUCAGAAUUAGAGAAACGCUAGGAAGAGGAAGAAAAUAACUUUGGAAGUAAGUAAGAGGGAAAAAAUUAUGAAAUUUGGAAUUAUUUUUUGUAAAGUAUGUUGCGUUUACUAAACUGGAAUUAGAAUGAGCUGAAAUCAGAAUGAAUAGGAAUGCGAAUGUGCUGAAAUCGGAAUAGGUAAUGAGAAUAAGAAUAAGUUGUUUACUUGAACUGUAAAAAUCAAAAUCGGAAUGAGCUGAAUUGCAAUUACUUUGUCUUGGAAUCGGAAUCGGAAUCGGAAUGAGUUAGAUUAUAACAAAUUACUGAAAAGUACUUAAUGAAUUAUUGUCAUAAUUAUUAUUUUAUAUUUUAAUUAUAGUGAUUAUUUAUUCAAAAAUUAUUAUUAUUAAUUAUUUCCAAUAAUAUAUUAAUAUGUUAAUUAAUUUUAAAAAUUAUUAAUUAAUUUAUUAUAAUAAUAUACUAAUUAAUUAUAAUUAUUAUUAUAAAAAUAUAUUAAUAAUAAAAUUACUAAUUUAAUUGUAAUAAUAUAUGAAUUAAUUAUAAUAAUUAUUAUAAUAGUAUAUGAAUUAAUUAUAAUAAUUAUUAUAAUAGUAUAUUAAUUAAUAAUAAUAAUAAAAAUAUAUUAAUUAUGUGAUUAUUUAUUCAAAAAAUAUUAUUAUUAAUAAUUAUUGUUAAUAAUGUAUCAAUAUACUAAUUAAUUAUAAUAAUUAUUAUAAAAAUAUAUUAAUUAUUAAUAAUAAAAUUACUAAUUUAAUAAUAAUAAUAAAAAUAUAUUAAUUAUGUGAUUAUUUAUUCAAAAAUUAUAAUUAUUAAUAAUUAUUGUUAAUAAUGUAUCAAUAUAUUACUUAAUUAUAAUAUAUUAAUUAAUUAUAAUAAUAUAUUAAUUAAGUAUAAAUGAGGACAAAGUGGGUAUUUUUAAUUUCACGAAGGGGCAAAAUGGUCAAUUCUAGUAAUGGGAGACUCACUCCCACCCUCUCCUUUGGGAAUGAGUCUCCCAUUCCUCAUUCCCAAAUUGUGGUGGGCCCCAUGAUUUUGACUCCGAUUUCUAACUCAAUUUUGCGAAGUAAACGCUACCAAUGAUUCCGAUUUCGGAUUCUGAUUCACUUAUCUGAGAAGUAAAAGCAACAUAAAUGUGUAUGAAUAAUUGAUACCUAUGAAUAGUUUUGGGAGUUUUAGCUAGGAGUCAUCUAUUGAAGAUGUUUAGCAAUUGAAGAUCUCUGUCUCAGUAGUUUUCCCAAUCAAAAUCAAGAAGCAAAAAAACUUGCCAUUUUUCUACUUGAUAAUUAAUUGAAAUUUAAGAAAAUACAAUGGCAUUUCAAUUAGAAUUGGUAAUUGUUUAUCUUUUUUCAUUGAUCAAAUUCUAAUCGUGAUCCAAUAGUUAUGGAUGAAGGAAAUAUUAUGAGAGGCGAUAGGCCAAGUGAAGACGUACCAGCAAAUUCAAAAUAGUCGGGAGGUGGACGUCCAGCAUAUCUCCUUCUCUCUGUAGCACCCAGAUGCAUUGUUAUUUGCUCCAAGAAAUGUUAAAAGGAUUGGCCCUAUCUCAAUGUGGUUAGUGGCAAGGGCGGAGACAGCAUAUUAAUUGACUGUGGGCUUACUCAACUGCGAUAAAAAAAAUUUAAAAAAUAAUAAAUAAUAAAUUUAAAAGAUUUAUCAUACUUCAAUAUAUGUUUAUAAUUAUCCUUUACGAGUUUUCAUACAUUGAUAACGUUGUAUUACAACUUCAUUAUCAAUAUUAUUGUGGGCUGUUUAAAAAUUUGAUUAAUAUUAAUAUUUAUAGGCUUGAUUUUAUUUUGUAAAGCCCAUCUCUUUUUAUUUGUUUUAAAAACUUAGAGUGUGAGAAUUUAAGUAUAAUUAUGUAUUAGGAACUUGAAUAUAAAUUAGUGGGGGCUUAGGAAAAAUUUAUUAGAAAUUUUUGGCAAAUCAAAUUAGUUAGUAAAAGAUUUUUUUUUUUUUUUUCAGUGGGGACUUAAGUCCCCACUGGUCCCAAGCUAGAUCCGCCACUGGUUAGUGGUGAAAAAUUAAACACCAUGGAAGGAUUUGCAAGGAAUAUGCCAAGAAACUGGCUAAGUUCCACAAAUAUGGCAUUAUUGCUCUUUUUUUUUUAAAGAAAAAUUAUACACGUUAAUUUAGCAAAAAGUCUAAGACACGUGCCUUUUGAAAAGAAUAGCUAUUACCAUGACACAAUCGAUGCGGCUGAAACCAAAAUUUUCUUUUCUUAAUGUAAAGUUUUUUUUUUAAAUAGAUUUUAAUAUCAAAAUGCCCUUCGAUGUUAUUACUCUCACAAGCCCUGUAACAGGAGUAAUAAAAAAGUUUAGAAUUUUUGGGCAUGAAAAAAGUAGUAUUAAACAUCAGCAAGCAAAGGUUGUUCUGUUAAAGAAUUGAUAUUGACGUGAUUUUAUUUUGGUUAUCGAGAAAAAAAUAUAUUUGUUGACAAGUAAGAAAAUAUUAUUAUAUUUUACAAUCUAUUAUACAUAUUUUAUUAUAUUAAAUAAUACUAAAUAGAAACAUAAAAUUAGAAUAAAAUAAAUUAAAAUUAAAAUUAAAAUUAUUUUGAAUAUUAUGUAAAAAAUAAUGUUAAUAUCAUUGUUACUUGUAAAAUAUAUUUAGCCUAAAGAUUUAUUUAAAAUUUUAUAAUGAAUAAAAAUAUAAAAAUAAAUUAAAUAUCAUAGUUUAAAAUCUUAAUAUUAUUUUAAAUAUUAAAAAUACUUUAAUGUAUCUUAAUAUUAUUUUAAAUAUUAAAAAUACGUUAAUGUUAUUAUUCUACUACACAUGUUAUAUUAUUUAUAUUAUAUUUGUAUUAAUUAAAAAUUUUAAAGUCAACUUUCUAGUAACUAUAUUCAAAGGUAUUAUGGUUAAAUAAAGGUCUUAGUGUUUCUUUUUCAAAAUUUGAGGGUCUACAUGAUAAUUUUUCCAAACCCUAAGGUAUAGGAGUCCUUUUUGUCAAUAAUUUAUUUCACUUUUGAGAGAAUACGAUGAGAAAUAAGAUCAGAGAAAUGUCAAUUUAAUGUUCUCUAGCUUAAUGAAAAAAAAAUGGAAACCAAGAACUAUUCAAUUUUGUAUUUUUUGUUUGUAAUUCAAAAAAUCCAUCCGCCAAACAAGAUUCACGCAUUUAUGUUGUCAUAAAAUGAAAAAACAGUUUGUGAAAAAAUGGCACCAAACAUACCCUUAAUGUCCCACAUGAUUUCUUAUGAAGCCCAUAUUAGAUAUAUUUAUACAUUUUACUGCAUUUAGGACAUGUUUGAUAGCCUGCAUUAUAUAGGAUAAAAACAUAAUUUUGUAUUAAAUUAAUGCACACUCACGUUUGGCGCUAAAAGUAACUCCAGCCGCAUUGCAUUAAUGGGCUGCUACUGCGGCAAUUGCCGCACUAGCUUGCCUCUUUUUCUUUUUAAUUUUAUUUAUAAUAAUAAUAAUAAUAAUAAUAAUAAUAACAUAAUAUAACUUUUAUUUUAAUAUAAUAUUAAGUAUAAUUUUUAUUUUUACAUUAUAAUUAUUGAUAUAAAUUAAUAAAUUUAUUAUUUAUUAUUCAAUAAUAUUAUAUUAUUAUUUUUUUAUUUUUACAUUAUAAUUUAUUAGUAAAUUUAUAAUUUAAUAUAAUUAAUGAUAAUAGAAAAUAUCAUUACAUGUACUACAAAACUCUUACUUGGAUUAUUUAACACAAUUUAUUUUAUUCGUGAAUAUGUUAUAACAAUUGUAUCACUUUAUUGUUUUGUUAUUAUUUUGUGGUAUGUAUAAAUUUUUAUUCUAUUAUUCAAAGAUGACUUUUGAACUAAUCUUAUAGGUUUUAACUAUUUAUUUAUGUUGUUAUAUUAUUAGAGAUUAUUUGAUUAAAUUAUUUGCUUCGAUCUUUAUUUUACAGGUCAUAUAUUUAGAAAUUACUGAAAAAUAAAUGUUCUACUUCCAAAAAAUUUAAGGCUAUAAGCUCGAUCUUUAUGAAUAAUUGUGAUAUUUUUUAACAUUUACACUAAAAAAAUUGUUAAAUUUCUAAAAUUUAAGACUUCUAUAUUUAGUAUUUUUCCAAUUACUAAUAAGUAUUAUUUUCUAAAUAUAUAAUUUAAAUUAAUCACAAAAAAUUAAUACAGUACAGUGCAAUAUCAAAUAUAAUAUAAUUAAAAAUUAUACAGUACAAUGUAGCACCAAAUAUUGUACAAUAUUAUUAUAAAAUAGUACUGAUGCAAUACAAUAUAAUACAAUAUAGUGUGCCAAACGCACCCUUAGAGUGUGUUUGGAACAUGGGAUUAUAGGGUAUUAAAACACUGUUCACAUUAGCUUAAUACCAAUAUCAUGUUUGGAAAGAAAUUUUAAGGGAUUAAAGGGGGGUGAGCUAAUGCCAUAACUGCGCCAUUAGUGUCUUGGUUUUUUUUUAAAUAAUAAUAAAAAAUAUAAAUUCCUAAUUUUAUGUAAUAUUAUAUAAUAUUAAUUUUUAUUUUCUUUGAUCUUUACAUUAUAGUAAUUAAUAUAAGUUAAUAAAUUUAUAAUUUAUUAUUCAUAUUUUAAUUUUUAUUAUAUUAAAAAUAUAACUAAAUAAUUUAAUUUUAAUUAUAUAAUAAUUAAUGUAUAAAAUUGAUUAAUAUUUAAUAAGUUAAUACAACUAGUAAUAAGUGCUUAAAUAAUAUAUAAAAAUAAAAAUAUAACAUAAUAUUACAUUAUUUAAUUAUAUUACAAUAACUAAUAUAUAAAAAUUGAUUAUUAUUUAACAAUUUAAUAUAGCUAAUAAUAGAUACUUAAAUAAUAAUUUAAUAUAACUAAUAAUGAAUAUUGAUAUAUGAAUAUAUUUAAAUAAUAUUAAUACCAAUAUAUAUAAUAAUAUAAAAUAUUAUUACAUGUACUGUAGUAUUCUUACUUGGAUUAUUUAGCGCAAUUUAUUUUAUUAGUGAAUAUGUUACAACUAUUGUAUCACUUUAUUAUUUAAAUUAAUCAAAAAAAUUAAUACAGUACAAGAUAGCACUAAACAUUGUAUAACAUUAUUAAAAUACAGUGUUAAUGCAAUACAAUAUAAGACAAUACAUCUAUAUUAAAAUAAAAUAAAAUAAUUUAAUUUAAUAUAAUACAGUAUGUCAAACGCACCUCGUAUAUUUUAAUUUCAAAAGAAGUUGGUCCUUCCGUUAUUUAUAAAAGAUAACUUUAUUUUCAGAUUACCACUAAACUCUGAAGUAGAAUUGGUGUAAUGUUAAGAGAGAGUAACACAGUUUUCCAUUACCAUCUUUGAAAAUAGAAAGAUAUGGAUCAGUGUAUUUAAGAGUUAUCGUGAAAAUCAUACAGUUCAAUUCCCUGACACAUAUAUUUAUGAGCAUAUGCCAAAAGAAUAAAUAGAUAGAAAGUAAAUUUACAAUCCUCACUUCCUCACAAUUGUUAAAAUGAAGAUGCAUUACAACUGUGAACUGUCACUAUUUUAGCCUUUUUUAUUUUUUACUUUUAGUUAUAGUGCGAUGGAGACAGUGAACAUCAAGGAUGAGAAUAAAAGUUAAAGAUGACCCACCCACUUUCUUUUUAAAGUGCUCUGCUCAAAGACAAACUUCCUCUGGCUAAUUAAUUUAGAUGUGAAGAGAGAAUAAAGUCCUAGAUGCCUUCUGAAAUUAGAAAUACAUUUUAUAUGCUUUAAUUAUGAUUAUUUGGUAGACUAUAGACCUAAAAGACAUGUUAGAUUAUAAAACAGUGCGAUUAAAAAAAAAAGAGUAUUUGUGACGUCAAAUAACAAUUGGUAACUAAAAUCCAAAAUAUUUGAGUUGUUAAAAGCAAAUAAAAAAAAAGAAGGUAAGAGUGAUGCAGAAACACAAUAUUAGCUUAUCUUGAUUUUCCCACUUUAUUCAUUCUCGAUGCUUUUCAAAACAAAUUCUUCUAAUCUUUCUGGUGUCUGCAGCCCCUUGUCACGGGACGAGAGGUUUCGAGCCCGUGCGGUACUCUCGCAUCCCAUACUGCGAGAGUAAACCUAGUGGAAGUGGCACAAUAUCGACUGGUUUCACCCUGUCUUGGGCUCAUCAGGAGAACGGCUCCAGUUCCCAACCAGUGUGUGAAGAGCUUCGCCUAAACCCCUCUUCAACGUUAAGUCCUUGACUAGCGACAAGCUCCCCAAACUCAACCAGGUUGGCCUGCCUGAACUCCAAGAAAUCUAGGAUCAUUGUAUUCCCCACACGACGCCCCUGAAGCACGUCUCCUACAAUCAGCACAACCCUUAUCGAUACCAGCGUACAAACGCAUAUCUUCGGCGUCACAAUUGCAGUCCGUGACACCCUGCUCUUGUUAUAAAACUCCACCCCAAAUCUACACUACAAACAAGUUGAUUGAAAUUAAACAAUUGCUUUUUGAAGUGGACCCAUUGAGUCGUGGUCAUUACUCGUCAUUGUCUAUUUUUUCUAUGAGCCAUUUAUUUUGAGCAAUAGUGAGCUUCUCUGAACUACUCCAAUUAUUGAUGUAACUCCAGUGGCUGCAUCCAUAGUUGAAUAUAUGACAGUAUUAGCUCUUAUUUGAGAAUAUAGGGGGAUCUUUCUUUGUUUCUUUGUUGCAGUGUUCUAGUUUAUAGUCUUGCUGUUAAUGAAUUCACUGAGGCAUUAUUAAUUUAAUUUCAGUGAAGUAAUUAUGGAUGAAAAAUAAAUAAAGGAUAACAGAAUAGAGCUGAAGUGCUGAAUCGGCUAUUAAAGAAAGUGUCACGUGAUCACAAUCACACUGAUGCACAACUCUCUCUAUGUACUCCAAAUUCAGCCAAACCAUACAUGCCUCAACAAAAUUAAACCGUAGUUCUCAUCACUACAGUAAAUGAAGCCCACAAAGACAGCUGAAAUGGAAAAUAUUGACUAUUGAAUGGAUCAAUGCUGAAUUACACUUGAAAUGGGAAGCUUGGCUGCGGUUACGAUGUUUCCCCCUCUGAUUUUUCUCCAAAACAAAUUCCGUUGUAAAUAAUAUUCAAUGUAGCAACACUUUAUUCAGCAAAGAAAAUACCUAAUUUUUCAACUAACAAAUUCUCUUGUCUAAACUAAAAAAACUCACAUCUCUCCAAUCUAUCUACAAAAUAUUGGAGAUGAGAGGUGAUUUGUCAACUCGAUAAAUAAAUUCAUGCAUAAUGUUACCAAUAAUGAUAAAUUACUUAAUAAUUCUUAUAAAGAAUCAUAAAUAAGGAACAUUAACCAUUUUACAGUCUAUUACAUAAGUAAGAUUAAUCUUAUAAUAAGUUAACUUAUAACGUAAUAAAUAUUUCAAUUCAUAAUUAUUUAAGAAGUCACUUAACAAUAAAAUAUUUUUUUAUUUAAUUGAUCAUGUCAUAUAACGUUAUCUAAACUCCUGACGAUAUUAUUAUUACUCACUUUUCUCAAAAAAACAUGACUAACGUUUAGAGAAAAGUCAUGCCUUUUAGAUAGAUAGAAUAUGAUUACAAGCUAUCCAUACUUUAUCUUACCAUGACAAAAUUGAUGGUGAUUAAAUCUAUUUUUAAAAUAGAUUUAAUGCACAAACAUGAUGACUUUUGCCAAAAAUUAGUUUCAGAAGAUAACUAAAUUAAGUUGCAAAGGAGCUUACUUCAAUUUCUAAGCUUUUCAAUCAUGAUUCCUCCAUGCCUUCCUCUGAUACCAUUUUGUUACGUGCCAACGUAAUUGACCUUGUAAUUGGUUUGUAUAAGGAAUGAAGCCCUUUCAAGAUCGUUUCUUUUGUGUCCAUAUUGUAGUAGACUAGUAGUCAAGUAAAUAAAGAGUGAAUAACUGAAUUUGGUCUAUUUCGAAGAAGACUAUGGCCUCCACACUACAAGAAAAUAGGCGAUAGAUAACGGGAAAUAACCGUCAUAAAAGGUGGUGUAUGACAGACAGUUUAUUCGUCAUCUAUGUCACUGUCAUUAAUUUAUGACAGAAUAUUUUCCGUCAUGAAUUCUUGAUGUUAUUUUACAAUCAUAUAUCCAUCACACAAUAUUUUAAUGAGAAAAAAUAAUUAAAUAAAAUUUGAAUUUAUUAAAAUUUUUGCUCUAUUUUUUAAUUUUUUGGCGGAAAAUUAAAUUGUCAUUUGUAAAUUUCUUAUUCAAUUUUGGUGGAAAAUUUUUUUAUGACAGACUUUAUGAUGUGUAUUUCCCAUCAUAAAGUUAAUUUUUUUAAAUUAUAUUGUGAUUAUAGUUUAUUUCUGAAUUCCUGUUUACAAAUUUAAUUAAUUAAUAAAAAAUGAAUAUUGUCAAAAAAUAAAAAAAUAAUAGUAACUAAAAUCCAUUCAAUCCAACAAAUUAAUUUCAAAAUAAAUACAUCUAAUAUUCAAUGUCAUUACCACUAAUACAUAAUAAAACAUCCCAAAUUAAAAAAAAGAAUGUCAAAAUAUAAAACAAUAGUUAAAUUCCAAUUAAAUUCCAAGAAAUGUAAUUCAAAUUCCGGACACCGAGCCAAGCUCCCCAGCAAAACUUCCAAAGAUUAAUGGAAAUAUUCCAAUAGCAAGACUUCCAGAAGCAAUACCCUCUUCCAGUGGCAAUACAUUGACUAAUCUUUGAAGCCAUGACUCCUCAAGCCAAUGCCAAAAAUGUGUGCAAAAUUAAUGCUCUAUCCACAAAAAUUUCAGUCUAUAUUGGUAAGAAGAAACAUGAAGAAACAAUUACCUCAGCAUCAUCGUCAUUGGAAGCCAAAUCAGCUGUAAAGACCACAAAAUGUUUGGUUAGAACUAGUGGAAGUCUUACUCUAAAACUUUUAAUUUUUGAAUUUCGAAAGAUCUAGUAAUGACAAAGAUUCUCAUAUCCAGUGACCAAGUUUUGAAAAUUAGAAUACGGAAUAACGUCAACUAAAUUCACUAAUAUAGGGUGCAUUUGAGAUUGAGGUUGGACAGCUGUAGCUUAAAAGCUACAGUAGUAAAGUGUUUGGUAAACACUAGUUGCUGUAAUUUAAAAACUAUGUUGAUAUGAUUUUUCACUUGUAUAAUGGAGAAUCUAUUUUUUUAAAUAAUUAUGUCAAAAUUAUUAUUUAAAAUUUAUAUUUACUACAUAUUAUUAAUUUUUGUUUCAUAGUCACAGUUUUUUUUCCACAGCAGUUGUAAAGCUACAUCACCUCAAUCCCAAACGCACCCUAAGCUAGAGGAAUCCCUAGUUGAUAUAGCACACAUGCACACAUGAUAUGCAUGCAUCAGAAUACACAAUAAUAAAUUAUCUCAAAGUCAAUAAGAAGCCAAAACUAGAGAUAAACCUUUAGCCACUAUAAGGAAGACUGAUAUUUGCAGUGUGAUUACAAUAAACAAACAGAAACUUCACUACCCAUAAGUAAAGCAAAAUAAAUAAAGGAUAAUAACUAACCAAGAAAUGGAAAAGCUCACAUUCUCUGAACACGCACCCCAAAAAGAAAGAAAGAAAUAAAUGUUCCCAUUGGAUCUGAAGCACAAGCAAUCCACUGACAUCCUUCUAUAAUUAGGUAAUUUAAAGGGGUUAAGCUCACAUCUUUUACGGAAGCAACAAGAGAAUUAACAACAUUCCAGAGGAUUUAGGGAAAAACCACGAGGCAAGAAAAAAGAAAGAUCCUUCUUCAAUCUAGAUAUCUUGACACUGCUCACCAUCUACAGCAGUCUGGGGCUUAAAAAGCAUGAUCUCUCCCCCCCUCUGGCACCAUUUUCUCUCAUGUGAAUCUGUCAUUGCCCGUAGAAACAAACCAGAACUGCAUAAAUUCUCUUAUCUUCCAGCAGCUUCUUUUCUCCAGAAAUAGGCACAACUAUUUGACAUGGAAACAAUUUAUCUAACAUGGCCACCUUUAAAGACAAAGACAUACUAAGGACAUGGUUUUAGAUACGGAUACAAGAAACAAUCACAAAAUGUAAAAUCUAUACAUAUGAUAUUAAUUUCCAAUGGAUACAGCACUUCAUUCUUUGACUUAACUUCAUUAGAUUACUAGGUUUGAUUAGGUUAUACACACAUUUAUUCAUUUAUGGUUUUCAACCUAUAAUCUACAUGCACUUAGAAUGAGAGGUACCUAUAAAAACAAGUUACCAGAAAACAAUACAGCUAGAAAACAUUAAAACAUUAAUCUAAGCAGUUCUAUAGGUUUAACUAACUGCAGGAAAAAACCGUUGAUUUUGUCCGUCGGAUUAUUGAGAUCCUAAUUCUGGUAAAAAGAAAAUGAGAUAAUAGAAAAUCAAAAAUUAAAUAGACACAAAAUGAGAAAUCAAGAUCAUACGGCAACUAAUAUAUAGCAUGGGCUGCAGCUAACAAGCAAUAUAAGCCAUGAUAUUAUGCCAGAUACAAAAUUUUGAGAUCCAAGAGAGAUCAAGAAGCAUGAAUAUUGAAAGAAGUGAGUGCAGAAGGAUAAGAAAUCAGGUUGAUAUUCUUCAUACUUUGGGUCAACACGUAGUGAUGCAAUAAACUUGUAAUUAGCUUCAAGUGUAUAGGCUACCAUGUCAACAUUUCCGAAAACACACAAGAUUGUGCUGGAUUCAUAUAUAGUACAUAUAUAAAAAAACAAUCUGCUUCUAAACUUCAUGAGAACAUCGAAUAAUGAACUUACAAUUUGAUCCCUCAUCAUCUUCAUCGCACCAUUUGUUCCAAUCAACCUUAAUGUAAGGUGCUGGUUUCUCUUCUGACUUGAGUAGCCUUUUCCACCAACCUUUCUCUUCUUUUUGCACCGAGCAUAUUAUGUUCCUUAAGCCAACUUUAGUCUUACAUUUCUGCACCACCAGCAACAAAAUUCAAAGCAUUACAAAAGAGGUAUAUUUAGCCGCUCUUGACUCGAGUGAGAGAACAGGAUAAACAGCCUAGGUAUAUCCACAUCCAUGUUAUGAGAUUAAUUAUGCAACAACUAACUUUAAUAUAAAGUUUGUGCUCCAACAAAGACUAAAAUGUUUGUAAUUGUUAUGCUUCCGGAGCUAAAAUGUUUCGCAAACACUCACUUUUACUCUGCAGCUAAUAUCUAGCACCCAGCCACACAAAGUCCGUAGUCUUUGUCUCAACUUUGUCUGAGGCCAAUGUAAAUCCAAUUUGCACAAGCUCUCUAUGCACCACAGCUCUUCUGGAAGCUUUCUCAAGUACGCACAAGGGUUGACAAUUAAGCUUUCAAGUUUUGGUAUUGCUCCAGCCCCCAUCGUCCACUCAUCUAGCCAAUACAUUGAUUUCAGGCGCAAAACCUUAAGUUCCGGAAAGCCACCCGAGCAAGCACAGGCCAGCUUUCUUCCUAAAUACAAGCUCUGCUUCAGUUUCAGCACUUGAAGGCGUGGAAGCUUUUUGAUAAGGAAAGGGAGCCACGGAGGUCAACAAAGGUUCAUAAGCCUAACUACAGAUACGAGGGCUUUGUUUGAACAUUCGUAAGUCUCAUGCAGCCAUGCAUGCGGUCAUGCAUGUUGCAUGCAAUACCAUGCAAGACUUAUUUACGCAUGGAUUAAAGAGUAGUCUGUUUCUAGUUUUUUAUUUAAGAUUGCUCAGUUAUUUAAAUUGAUUUUAGCCGUGAAUUGUGGCUACAAAUCCUUAGUAGUGUUUGUAUUAACUACUAUAAAUAAGCUCCAGCAAUUAAUAAAAGGAUUAUGCAAAAAAUUAUCUCAAAGUACUAUUCUUGGUCGUUUUCACCGUAAGUAGAACAACGUAAACUUAGCUAUUGUUGAACGUUUUUGAUUGGGACCUAUCACUUUUCCAGCCUUGGCAUGGGAUCCUCCAUUAGCUCAGUAUUUGAUAAGCUCAGUUGGGUCAGACUUGGAGGAAAUUGGUAUUCAGACAGGACCGUCCGUGAGAGCUUGCUUUCAUUCACCAGCUUCAAGCAUUCAAGUUUCUCUAGUUCGCAUAGGCUUUUGGAAAUCCCAGAUUGAUAGUAACUCAAAUCUCCAGACACUCUAAGAGUUUGAAGAUUAGGUAGUCUGCCCAAUAUAGCUGGAGUGCAACUACUAGGGUGUAAGGCUGAUAUGAAAAUGAGAUUUUUCAGAGAGCUGGAAUAAUUUUUUGGAGGCGCAGGCAGAGUGAUGCAACCGAAGUUUAAAUGCACGAGUUUUCGCAUCAUCCAAAUAUCCUCUGGUGAAUGAUCUAUGUAGCUUGAUGGCAUUUCUAGUGUUUGAAGGUUUAAAAGAGUGCAUAGCAGUGAAGGAAGGCAUUUGAGCGAGGGGAUAUUCAAUUUCAAAUACUUCAAAUGGAAAAAGUUUCUAAUCCGGGCGGAUAUUGGUCGAGAAUUGCAGAACCCAAGUUCAAUACCCCAAGGUGUUUGAACGUUUGACGAAAAUUCUCGCAAUCUAUCAGAGCGAGAUGAUCGCUUUCUGAACUGUGAUUCAGAAAAGAUUGGAGAUAGAUGUCAGGAUGUUCUAAAGAUAAAAACUGAAUCAGAUGUUCCAAAAUGAAGCACCGUUUAACAUUUGCCAGUGGUUCCUUUUCCCUUUCAUGCAUGCAGACAAAUUCCGUCUGCGCUGCCACCAAAAACAAUGGAGUACAUAAAAAACUUGGAACAUAACACGCUUUAAUUGUGCCUCCGGCUCUUCUCUUACUCACUUGAAUGAAGCCGCAAUAGAUUAGUUCUUUCAAAUAAUGCUCGGCAGUUUCUUCACUGUUGUAUGGUAUGAAACCUUCAGCUACCCACAAAUGAUAUAAUUGCCUCGUAGAUAUUUCAAUACUUGGACGAAAGACACACAAAUAGAUGCAGCAGACUUUCAAGUGAAAAGGUAACUCCAUCAAAGAAUAACUGUGUCUCUAAAUUGUCGGAAUCGCUACGCCUUGAACAUAAUUUUCUAAUGGCAUACUUCCAUAGUGUAGGAUGAAAAAUUGCCAGGCUUUAUGCUUUAAUCUGAUCAAUGGUCCUCCACUGAGCACUGAAUCAAACCGAAUCAUCUCUCCGUUUUCCAUGUCCAACAGCGUAAGGGGGCAUGGAUCAGUGACCAAUAUCAAUACUCUGCUUCCAUUCUGAUUGUCAGGAAGAACUUGUUCAAGAUCAUCCAAUACAUCGUCACUCUCUUCACAGUAAUCAUCAAGCACAAUAAAGUACUUCUUGUUUGUUAGGAAAUCUCGAAGAAUAGAUUUCUUCAAUUGAUAAUGUUCACCGAUAAUUACACUAACCCGAGAUGGAGGCAUCACAGACUUGAUUAUGUCAUCCAAUAUCUUGCCAAAAUCGUAGAGUACAGAAAUCCUGACCCAAGCAAGGCAGUCAGAGAAUUGCAACCACUGCAAGCCGAGGAUGUCCUUCAAUCAAUAAAUCAAACAACUCCUCUCUACCACUUUCAAAUUCGUUGAUAUCAAGCCGAGGUUUUCCCUCAAUCAAUAAGUGAAUGAGUUUGUCCCUUUGUUCAGUGAUUACGAAACCAUUGUCGCCGGGUGGAAGUUGUUGCAUCCGAUUUCUAAUAUCAAUAAUUUUACUGUGGAGUCCAACAAGAAGAGCCAUAUUAGUACUGCUUUCACUUUCUUCUUCACUGUUUUGCUGCUGCAUGAUGUUGAUGAAGAAUGUGUCAAUGGCUUCCUCAGAUUCAUGGACAAAGUCAUUGAUGUCCUUCACAAUUUCCAGAAUGUCUGAUCUUUUAACGUCUUCAUCGCUUUCUUGUAAAAAAGCCAAAUAUAUUUCGGAUUCAUCGAAUUCUCCUCUAAUGAGUUGAAACAAAAGCCGAGCCAUGUCAGCUUCAUAGUUUCCCACCAGAGUAGUAGCAAUGAUUUCUGACUCCGUAAGAAGGUUCUGAAAAAGUGGAGUCAAAUUUGUUCAAUCAGGCAACGUUAACGCGCCUUCUUCACCUGCUAGCACCCUUUUCAACCUCUCACAAAAUAGUCGGAGGUUCACGUCCACCAUAUCUCCUUCCCUCCGUAGCACUCAGAGAAGAUUGGUCCUAUCUCAAAGUGGUUAGUGCUGUAAAAUUAAACACCAUGGAAGAAUUUGAAAGGAAUAUGCCAAGAAACUGGCCAAGUGGCUAAAUUCCACAAAUAUGACAUUAUUGCUCAUUUUCUCUCAGACACGUGAUACACGUUGAUUUAGAGGAAAGUUCAAGAAUUUUGCUUUAAAAAAAAAAAUUGAUGGUGCUUAAAUUAUUAUUUUUUUAAUUUAAAGAGUUUUGCUUUUAAAAAAAAAUUAAUAUCAAAAUGCCUUCAAUGUUAUUACUGCCACAAGCCCAGUAACAAAACUCAUUAAAAAUUUUAGAAUUUCUGGCCAUGGAAAGAGUAGUAUUAAACAUCAGAAAGCAAAGGUUGUUCCGUUAAAGAAUUGAUGUUGACAUAAUUUUAUUUUGGUUUUCGGGAAAAAAAAAAUAUUUGUUGGCAAGCAAAGAAAAUAAUUUUAUACUUUACAAUCUGCUAUACAUAUUUUAUCAUAUUAAAGUAAUUUUAAUAUCUAUCAAAAAAAUAAAUUUAAUAAUAAUUGGAACAUAAUAUUACAAUAAAUAAAUUAAAAUUAUUUUAAAUAUUAGGAAAAAAAUAUUAUUAAUAGGAAGAUAUUUUGUUAAUUGUAAAAUCCUUUUAUUCCAAAUAUUUUAUUUAAAUUUUUUAUAAUAAAUAAAAAUAUAAAAUUAAAAUAAAUAUCAUAAUUUAAAUUUUUUAUAUUAAAAAUAUUUUAAUGUUAUUAGUCUACUACAUAAAUUAUAUUAUUUAUAUUAUAUUCGUAUUGAUUAAAAUCUUUUAAAGUUAAUUUUAUAGUUACUAUAUCCACAGGGUAUUAUAUUAUAUUUAAGAGUAAUUUUUUCAAAUUUUAGGAUUGCAGAUGUCCUUCUUCCGAUAAUUUAUUUCACUUUUGAGAGAAUCCAAUGAGAAAUAUGAUAAGAGAUGGUCAGUUUAAUGUUCUCUGCCUUUAUGGAAAAAAAGUAAAAAGUAAAAACUAUUCAAUUUUGUACUUUUUGUGUCCACCAAAUAAAUUUUACACAUUUAUGUUGUCAUAAAACGAAAAAAAAGGGUUUGCCAAAAAAUGGUACCAAGCAUACCUUUAAUGUCCCACGUGAUUUCUUAUUAAGCCCAUAUUAUAUAUAUUUAUACAUUUUAUUGCAUUAAACAUUUUUAUUAUAAAAGAAGUUGGUCCUUCCCCUAGUGAUAAAAGAUAAAUAUGAUAAUGUUUGAGAUGGGUUUAGUCUUUUAUAUUUGCUGAGUCCAGUGGGUUAAAGAAUUAGAGUAAAGCAUCUGGGCAUUCUUUCAUGCAAAACUAAAAAUCCUGAAAAUAGUUGGCUUUAACUGAUUAAGACAAGCUUGGUCGAAUUGAGUUGAACUUCAUAUAUAAAAGCCAAAUAUAUUGCGGAUUCAUCGAAUUCUUCUCUAAUGAGUUGAAACAAAAGCCGAGCCAUGUCAGCUUCAUAGUUUCCCACCAGAGUAGUAGCAAUGAUUUCUGACUCCGUAAGAAGGUUUUGAAAAAGUGGAGUCAAAUUUGUUAAAUCAGGCAACGUUAACGCGCCUUCUUCACCUGCUAACACCCUUUUCAACCUCUCACAAAAUAGUCGGAGGUUCACGUCCAGCAUAUCUCCUUCUCUCCGAGAAACUGUGUAAGUGGCUAAAUUCCAGAAAUAUGACAUUAUUGCUAUUUUUUUAACUCAAAAAAAUGGUACGCGUUCAUUUAGAGAAAAGUUCAAGACGCGCGCCUUUUGAAAAAUGGUACCCGUUCAUGUAGAGAAAAGAACAGGUAUCCCAAUCGGUAUCCAACCUUUAUCUUCUUUAAUUACCACCACGACAUGAUUUUUUUUUUUUUUUUUUGAUGACAUGAGACUAUUGCUUAAAUUACAACUCAAAUUACAACUCAUAUUACAUGAGAGUAUAAUUGAUAUGUACAAUCAUAUAUACAUACUGAGAUCUAUUGACAUUAAUGCUGAUAUGACACUGCUCAGAUUUUUGUAACCCUCUCAAAUAUUCGAGGGACGUCAAACUCCUAUCCUGGGAGAAAGACUGCCUUCACUCGAGCUCUGUGGCUCCAAGGAAGGAAAUAUAAAUUAAACCUCUACAAUGCGACUGCGGAGGCUCGAACCCCUUCCCUCACAUAUGUGAGGGAGUGGCUCUAGCCACUUGGGCUAGCCCAAGUGGUUCCACGACAUGAUUGAUGGUGCUUAAAUCAAUUGUUUCUUUUUUAAUUUAAAGAAAUUUUCAUUAAAAAAAUAUUUUAAUAUCAAAUACCCUUCAAUGGCAUAACUGCCGCAAUCCCAGAAACAGGAUUAAAUAUUUUUUUUUUUUUGAAUUUUUGGGCAUGGAAAGAGCAGUAUUAAAAAUCAGAAAGCUAAGGUCGUUCUGUUAAAGAAUUGAUAUUGACAUAAUUUUUUUUUGGUUUUCGGGGGAAAAAAAAAAUUGUUGACAAGCAAGAAAAUAUUUUUAUAUUUUACAAUUUAUUAUACAUAUUUUUUUUUUUUGGAUCAAUAAUGGGCUCUAAAAGAGCUAAAGCACCAGUAAACGGGAGUGGGCAACCCCAGACACAUCGUUAUGAAGAAUACUCUGUAAAUUAGGAGGAGCAACAGUAAGUAACUGCAAUCCUAAAGGACAAGACAAAUUAAAUGAGGCCAGAAAAUCUGCUGCUAUGUUUGCUUCUCGAUAGAUGUGGUUCACUUUCACGACCCAGUCCCUGCUGAUCAGCUCACGAAUGGCAAGGAUAAGAGAAUGAUGCUCAUUAACAGGAGUGGUCGGAUUCUCCAAGAUUUGAGAUUUAUUAUACAUAUUUUAUCUUAUUAAAGUAAUUUUAAUAAUAAAUAGAAACAUAAUAUUACCAUAAAUAAAUUAAAGUUUAACUUAUUUUGAAUAUUAUAAAAAAUAAUUUUAAUAUUAUUAAUAGGAGGACAUUGUAUUAAUUUUAAAAUUUUUUAACCCAAAGGUUUAUUUAAAAUCUUUAUUAUAAAUACAAAUAUAAAAUUAAAUAUAAUAAUUUAAAAUUUUUAAUAUUAUUUUAAAUAUUAAAAAUAUUUUAAUGUUAUUAGUCUACUACAUAGAUCAUAUUACUUAUAUAAUAUUUGUAUUAUUAAAAAUUCUUAAAAUCAAAUUUUUAGUUAGUAUAUUUAUGAGGUAUUAUGGUUAAAAAAAAAACCUUAUUAUUACUUUUUAAAACAUUGAGGGCCUGCGUGAUAAUUUUUUCAAAAAGAAAAUGCUUGGUAUCUAGGAGGGUUAGAGAAACAGGACUACCAAAAUCUCUCACCCUUUUUUAAUUAAAAAAAAUUAAAAUAUCAAUAAAAAAAAUAAAGAAAAUAGAAUUUUAUCUGCUCCUUACUCCAUUUUUGUAACUCUCUCACCAUCUCUGUCGAGCAGCCCUCUCUUUCACUGUCUCUCACUAUUUCACAAUCUCUCUCUCACUCACACAGUCCUUUAGAAAAGCCCAAAAUAGGCCCAAUAAGCCCAUAAUUAAAAUAAUCGAAUCGAAUUAUUUCAAUUAAUCGAGUAUUUGAUUAUUUCGGUAAUUUGAUUAAUCGCGAUUAUGAUUUUAAAAUAAUCGUAAUCGAACGAUUAUGAAAAAUUUAGUAAAAAACCGAAUUGAACCGAACCGCACCCACCCCUACAUAAAAGAACAACAAUUACUUGUCAUUUUCAAUUUUUUCUAUAAGCUAUUUAUUUUGAGCAUUAGUGAUCUUGUCUGGACUACUCCAAUUAUUGACGUAACUCCAGUGGCUGCAUCCACUGGAAAAAGUGGAUGAGAACAUUUUUUUUUUUCAUAAAGGUAACUACUCCAAUUAUUGACAUAAUUGAUGGUGCUUAAAUCAAUUUUUUUUUUUAAUUUAAAGAAUUUUGCUUUAAAAAAUAAUUAAUAUCAAAAUGCCUUCAAUGUUGUUACCGCCACAAGCCCAGUUAGAGGACUCAUUAAAAAUUUUAGAAUUUUUAGGCCUGGAAAGCGUAGUAUUAAACAUCAGAAAGCAAAGGUUGUUAUGUCGAAGAAUUGAUGUCGACAAAAUUUUAUUUUAGUUUUCGGAAAAAAAAAAAAAUUUGUUGACAAGCAAGAAAAUAUUUUUUAUACUUUACAAUCUGCUAUACAUAUUUUAUCAUAUUAAAGUAAUUUUAAUAAUAUAUGGAAACAUAAUAUUAUAAUAAAUAAAUUAAAAUUACUUUGAAUUAUUGAAUAUUACAAAAAGAUAAUUUUAAUAUUAUUAAUAGGAAAACAUUUUUAAUUGUAAAAUCUUUUUAAUACAAAAAUUCAUUUAAAAUCUUUAUAAUAAAUACAAAUAUAAAAUUAAAAAAAUAUCAUAAUUUAAAUUUUUUAAAAUUAUUUAAAUAUUAAAAAUACUUUAAUAUUAUUAGUCUACUACAUAAAAUAUAUUAUUUAUAUUAUAUUCGUAUUGAUUAAAACGUUUUAAAGUCAAAUUUUUAAUUAGUGUAUUCAAAGAUACAAAAGAUUUUAGUAUUAUUUUUAAAAAAUUUCAGGAUAUGAAUGAUAAUUUUUUCAAAUUUUAAAGAUGUAAGAAUCUUUUUUUCUGAUAAUUUAUUUCACUUUUGAGAGAAUCCGAAAACGUUAAUUUAACAUUCUUUACCUUUGUGAAAAAAGUGAAAAUCAAGAACUAUUCAAUUUUGUUUUUAUUUGUAAUUCAAAAACUUUAUUCAUUUUCGAUGCUUUUCAAAAGAGACUCCUCUAAAUCCUUUUGGUGUCUGCAGCUCCUGCAAUUCUCAUAAAUCUCCAUCCCACAUCUACACUAUCAAACAAGUUGAUGGAAAUUCUUAUCAAAAAAAAAAAAAAAAACAAGUCGAUGGAAAUUGAUCAAUUACUUUUUGAAGUGGACCCAUUGAGUCAUGUUCAUUUCUGGUCAUUGUCUACUCUUUCCAUCAGCCAUUUAUUUUGACCAUUUGCGAUCUUAAAGGAUAUGAGAACGUAGCUGAAGUGCUGAAGGGGCUAUUAAAGAAGAGUGUCACUUGAUCACAAUCACAUUGAUGCACAACUCACUCGUGGCAAAUUUCGACUAUACGUUCUGCAAAUUCAGCCAAACCAUACAUGCAUGAACAAAACUAAAAUGUAGUUCUAAUCACAACUGCAGUUAUAAUGUUUACCCCUCUGAUUUUUCUCCAAAACAAAUUCAGUUCAAAACAAUAAUUAAAUAGCCACAUUUUGUUCGUCAAAAUAAAUGCCCAAAUUUUCAAUUAACAAAUCAUCUUCUCUAAACUAAAAAUCCCACAUCUCUAAAAUCAAUCUACAUAAUGUUGGAGAUGAGGGGUGAAUUGUUAACUCAGUAAAAAAAACUCAUGCAUAAUAUUACUAAUAAUAUAAAAUAUAUAUUAAUCAUUAUAAAGAAUCAUAAUUAGAAAAAUUAAUCAUUUUAUAAUUUAUUACACAAGUAAGAUAAAUCUCAUAAUAAGUUAUAACAUAAAAAAAACGUUAUCAAUAUAUAAUCAUUUAAGAAGUCAUUUAACAAUAAAAUCGUUCUUUAAUCAGUUGGUCAUGUCACAUAGUGUCAUCUAUAUUUACGGUGAUAAUAUUAUUACUCAGUAUUAUCAAAAAACAUGAUUUAACAUUUAGAGGAAAUUCUUGCCUUUUAAAAAAAACAUGUAUGCAACAACUACCCAUGCUUUAUCUUACCAUGACAAAUAUUUUCUCAAUGAAAGAAAAUUUUUUAAAAAUUGAUUUAAUGCACAAAUAUGAUGAUUUUUCCAAAAAUUAGUUUUGGAAAACAUAGUGAGAGAAAAUAGUGACGAUUAUUGUUUAGAUGUAUAAAUAGCCUAAACAUAAUCCUUAAUACCAAUAUCCUAAUGCAUCUUAUCAUCUUUCAUGAUAUUCUUUCAUUUAUGUCCAUUGGUUCAAGAUUUGAAUUUGAUCAUUAAAUCAUGUUCAAUAAUAUUAGAGAUUCUAACAAAUGAGUACCAACUUAAAUCCCAAUGUUAUGUGUCAUUGACCAAUUUUGUGUCAUUUUGUUAUUAACUAGGUGAUGAAUUUGUAGUUGAUAAAAUCACUUAAAAAUAUCUUAAAAAUCAAACAAUAGUUUGCUUAAUUUUUCCAAGUUAACUGCUCAAGAUGCUCUAUUAUAAAUAAUAACCUAAUUAUAUUCAUAAAAAAUGAUAUUUUUUUUGUGGUGUUGAUAAUGAGAUUAUCAUUCAACAUUUUAAAAUGUGAAAACAUAUGGAAGAUGGUUGUAAAUUGAUUGAAUGAAAACAUUUCAGUGAAGUCUCAAAAAUUUGGUACUUGUUGUCUUAUCGAAAGUUUUCUAAAUUAUAUUCGUGGCACAGCCACUAUCCAAACCAUACAAGUCCAAAGCUAUCCAAACCAUACCUGCAAGUCCGGGGCUUAAAUGGAGUACUUCUAAGCAAAAAAACAUUGACUAAAAUAGAAUAUAUACAUACAGACACACAUACAUACCAGCAUAUUCAAAAUAGCAAAAGGAGUGCAAAAGUUCAAGUUUGUAGACAACAUUGCAACCAUAGCAUGUUUAUAGCAAAUCCUCAAAAUCUGCUAAAUAAAACAAUGCCCUGUCUCAUGAAUCAAUGCUGAAUUAAAAUUGAAACUGAAAGUCUGGAUGGUUUUGUUUGUUGAGAAUGUCAAAUAAAACGGCAUUGAAGGAAGUUUUCAAAGGCAGAAUCCGCACUUGUCAAAGGGAUGAUCUGCACUUGUCAAAGACACUAUCCGCGCCGAACGGAUCGACACAUUUCCUUCCGUAUUCACAUAUGUAAUCUUUGAAAAAAUAUAGCUUCUGCAUCUAUAAAUAACGCUCAGUGUAUAAUGUUUUAUUCAAGAAAUAAAAACAAGUUUCUACAUGGUAUCAGAGCCAUGAAUGCGCUCAAGUUUCUUCAAGUUUCGCUGCUCUGUUUGUCACAAAAACAGAGGAAACCAAUUAAAUUCGUCCCACAACCAUUUUUUCCACCAUUUUCUUCCUUAAAAUCAUUCCUAACAUUACAGAAAUCCAUGCCGAUCAAAAAACAUGAAAGACAAAUUACACAUGUGCAGUAACCAAUGAUCAUAUUUCGUUACUGUCAAACACAAUGCAUCUGAGCAAAACAUUGGAAGCCAACACCAGAAUACAUAUGAAUAAACAAUUAAAGAUAGAGAAAAAAGGCUUAAACCUUGGGGGGAAAAAGUGAAAAAACAUGAAAGACAAAUUACACAUGUGCAGUAGCCAUCGAACUUAUCAGUGACAGCUGCAUCCAUUACAUUGCUCCAACAACACAAUGGCAAACCACCAGUUUCAAAUUGAGGAUAGCUAUCGAGAAUGAGAAAGUGUCCAAAACGUCAUAAAUAGACAUGUUCCGAUUGUGCAUAAUUUACAUUAUAGGCAAAUAUUCUUAUACCAUCAAAGGCAAAACAUGACACUAACAAUUGAUCACCCCCCCCCCCCCCCCCCCAACAACAAAAAAAAGGAAAAAAACAAUACAGAAAAGAUUGAAACAGAUAAGGCUACACUGAGCACAGGAUGCCAUGAAACAUAAUCCAGGAACCAAAUUAAUAAAAAAGGAAGCCAAACCAUUAUUUAACAAUCUGUUUUGUAUUUGGGAAAGUCUGAUAAAAUCUACUUGGGGAUAAUUAGAGAACCUCAACUAUUAAUCACACCUCAUAAAUGAACUAACAUUAAACAUCUACCAUCCCAACGUCACACAAACAUUCUCUACACUUCUGAACCUAAUACUUCCAUCUUCAAUUGGGGUUUUUUUUUCUUUUUCUUUGGGGGGGGGGGGGGGGGGGAUUGAAAUGCUGAUUUCGAAUCACUAACAGUAAAAUUGGAAGCUCAUGAAAAAAUAGUUUUAUCUCAAAAUUACAUCUCGAUAUAAAUUCUCUUUUCAUUUCCUUCAACUUUCUAAUUAAGCUUAAAAAAUGUACCUUCAACCACAAAGGGGUUUAAAAUUUAAAAUAUAAAAAAUAAAUUCAGAUAACAAUAAUUAAUUUAAUUAAAAAUAUAAAUAGAGUUACAGAGAAAGAGAAAAUAGAGAAAGACGUAAUGUUGAGUCCUUUGGCGCAAGUCUCUUCAUAGGUCCGAACCAUUUCUUCGGGCGUGGGUUUCGGGUCUUUAGGAUACUCCAUAGUGAUAAGCCAGUGAUUGUAAUCGCAACCCUCGAACAGAAUCGUGUCGGGUGUGAUCUCGUCGCCGUCCUUAUACAAGUGGUACGUCUUGUUAACCGACGGCGUAGACGAGAGGGAGAUCGUCGGGGACGAUCUGAACGGCCGAGAUUGGAUAAUGAUGGAGGAGGAGAAGAUUAGCGAUGACGACGCCGAUGAAAUGGAAGGGUUUACCAGAGGAGUGGAUGCGAAGAAUGCAGGGACGGCCGCAAAGAGAGAGCGGCGGAGAGCGGCGACGGACGGUAGUGACCAGCGGAGGCGGAAAAUGGCGGUAUGGGCCAUUGCUUGCGCGUCGGUGAGUGUCUCGAGUGAGAGAGUGAAGGGUUUUGGGAAAUGAAAAAUGCAAAUGUUUGAUUUUGUUGCUAGAAACUUCUUCUGCCGCUGCCUUUUAUUUUCGCUAUAAUAAUAAUAAUUUGUUAAUCAAAUAUUUUCUUAAAAAAGAUAAAUUUCUACAACAAAAUUUAUAUUAAAUCAAAUUGUAAAAAUGUCUAUUAGGGUUAAUUUCUCCUUAAUAUUAUUAUUAGUAGAUGUAGAUUUUCGAAUUAGUCUUGAUAUAUUUCAGAGUUGUAUUAUAAAUGUAUAUGUAUCUGGAUUGCAAUUAUAUUUUUAAAAAAUAUAAUUUUUUUAAUUAUUGCACAAUAAAUGUAAAUAGUAUCUAUAAAAUAAUAUUAUUAGGACUACGAAAAAAAUAUUAUUUUAGAGAAGUUAUUUAUUUAUUAUUGAAUGAAUAAAAAAAUUAGUUUGGCAUUUUUAUAACCUCCUUGAAGGUUUUACGAUAAACAUAAAUCUACUGAGAAAGUGGGAAAAAAAAAAGAAAAUGCAUAUAAAAGUAUGAGUUAUCAGAUAAGAUUAAAACUCACCCAAUUCAAUCCAUCAGAUUCCGUAAGGAUAUAACUGGAUGUCAUACCGCCACUCCAUAUCCUCGAAAGUCCGUAGUCCUUGUCUCAACUGUGUCUGAGGCCAGUGUAAGUCCAAUUUGCGCAAGCUCUUUAUGCACCACAGCUCUUCUGGAAGCUUUCUCAAGUAAGCACAUGGGUUGACAAUUAAGCUUUCAAGUUUCGGCAUUGCUCCAGCCCCCAUCGUCCACUCAUCUAGCCAAUACAUUGAUUUCAGGUGCAAAACCUUAAGUUCGGGAAAGCUACUCAAGCCAACACAAGCAAGCUUUCUUCCUAAAUACGAGUUCUGCUUCAGUUUCAGCACUCGAAGGCGUGGAAGAUUUUCCAGAAUUGGCAUGGGAUCCUCCAUUAGCUCAGUAUUUGAUAAGCUCAGUUGGAUCAGACUUGGGGGAAAUUGGUAUUCAGACAGGACCAUCCGUGAGGGCUUGCUCUCAUUCACCAGCUUCAAGCAUUCAAGUUUGUGGAGUUCGCAAAGGCUUUUGGAAACCCCAGAUUGAUAGUAACUCAAAUCUCCAGAUAUCCGAAGAGUCUGAACACUAGGUAGUCUGCCCAAUAUAUCAGGAGUACAACUGCUACGGUUUAAAGCUGAUAUGAAAAUGAGAUUUUUCAGAGAGCUAGAAUAAUUUUUUGGAGGUGCGGGCAGAGUGAUAGAACCAAAGUUUAGAUGCAUGAGUUUUUGCAUCAUCCAAAUAUCCUCUGGUGACUGAUCUAUGUAGCUAAAUGGCAUUUCUAGUGUUUCAAGGUUUAAAAGGGUGCAUAGCAGUGAAGGAAGACAUUUGAGCGAAGGGAUAUUCAAUUUCAAAUACUUCAAAAGAUAUAAAUUUUCUAAUCCGGGCGGAUAUUGGUCCAGGACUGCAGAACCCAUGUUCAAUACCCGAAGGUGUUUGAACUUUUUACAAAAAUUCUCGCAAUCUAUCAGAGCGAGACGAUCGCUUUCUGAACUGUGAUUCAGAAAAGAUUGGAGACGCAUGUCAGAAUAUUCUAAAGGAAAGAAGUCAAUCAGACGUUCCACAAUGAAGCACCGUUUAACAUUUGCCACUGAUUCCUCUUCCAUGUCAGGCGUCCAGACAAAUCCCGCCUUCUUUGCCAGAAAAUACAAUGAAGUGUAUACAAAACUUGGAACAUAACACGCUUUAAUUGUGCCGCCGGCGCUUCUCUUACUCACUUGAAUGAAGCCGCGAUGGAUUAGUUCUUUCAAGAAAUGGUCGGCAGUUUCUUCACCGUUGUAUGGUACGAAACCUUCAGCUACCCACAACUGAUGUAAUUGCCUCCUGGAUAUCUCAAUACUUGGAGGGAAGACACACAAAUAGAUGAAGCAGACUUUCAAAUGAAAAGGUAACUCCAUCACAGAAAAAAUUUGUCUCCAAACUGUCGGAAUCGCUUCGCCUUGAAGAUAAUUUUCUAAUGGCAUACUUCCAUAGUGUAGGAUGAAAAAUUGCCAGGCUUCAUGCUUUAAUCUGAUCAAUGGUCCUCCAAAGAGCACUGAAUCACGCCGAAUCUUCUCUCCGUUUUCCAUUUCCAACGACGCAAGGAGGUCUGGAUUAGUGACUGUUAUCAAUACUCUGCUUCCAUUCUGCUUAUCAGGAAGAACUUCUUCAAGAUCAUCCCAUAUGUCACUGUCAUUGAAGACAUCAUCAAGCACAAUAAAGUACUUCUUGUUUGUCAGGUAAUCUCGAAGAAUAGAUUUCUUCAAGCGAUAAUCUUCACUGAUAAUUACCCUAGCCCGAGAUGGAGGCAUCAAAGAAUUGAUUAUGUCAUCCAAUAUCUUGCCAAAAUCGUAGGCUAUAGAAACCCUGACCCAAGAAAGACAGUCAAAAUAGAACUUGACAUGGUUAUUAUUGUAAGUAUCUGCAGCAAAAGCAGUCUUAUCGAAGCCACUGCUGUCGAGAAUUGCAACCACUGAAAGCCCAGAUGGUCCCUCAAUCAAUAGAUCAAAAAACUUCUCUCUGCCCCUUUCAAAUUCACUGAUAUCGAGCCGAGGUUGUCCCUCAUUCAAUAGGCGAAUGAUUUCGUUACUUUUUUCACUGAUAUCAAAACCAUUGUCGCCGGGUGGAAGUUGUUGCAUCCGAUUUCUAAUAUCAAUGAUUUUAGUGUGGAGUCCAACAAGAAGAGCCAUAUCAGUACUGCUUUCACUUUCGUUUUCACUGUUUUGCUGCUGCAUUAUGUUGAUGAAGAAUCUGUCAAUGGCUUCCUCAGAUUCAUGGACAACGGGAUUGAUGUCCUCCAGAAUUUCCAAAAUAUCUGCUGUUUCAACGUCUUCUUUAUCGCUUUCUUCUAAGUCCAACAGUUGCAAAAAAGGCAAUGAUAUUUUGGAGUCAUCGAAUUCUUCUCUAAUGAGUUGAAACAAAUGCCGAGCCAUGUCAGCUUCAUAUUUUCCCAGCAGAGUAGUAGCAAUAAUUUCGGACUCCGUAAGAAGGUUUUGAAAAAGUGGAGUUAAAUUUGUUGAAUCAGGCAAAGUUAACGUGCCUUCUUCACCUGCUAACACCCUUUUCAACCUCACACAAAACAGUCGGAGGUGGAGUUCCAGCAUAUCUCCUUCUCUCCGCAGCACUCAGAGGUAUAGUUGAAAGAUUAAACACCAUGGAAGAAUUUGAAAGGAAUAUGCCAAGAAACUGUGUAAGUGGCUAAAUUCCACAAAUGCGGCAUUAUUGCUCAUUUUUAACUCAAAAAAUUGAUACGCGUUCAUUUAGAGAAAAGUCCAAGACGCGUGCCUUUUGAAAAGAACAGGUAUCCCAAUCGGUAUCCAACCUCUAUCUUAUUUAAUUACUAUCAUGACAUAAUUGAUGGUGCUUAAAUCAAUUGUUUCUUUUUUAAUUUAAAGAAUUUUUCAUUAAAAAAAUAUUUUAAUAUCAAAUUGCCUUCAGUGGCGUAACUGCCUCAAGCCCAGUAACAGGACUAAUUAAAGAUUUUACAAUUUUUGGGCAUGGAAAUAGUAGUAUUAAAUAUUAGAAAGGUGAGGUUGUUCUGUUAAAGAAUUGAUCUUGACAUAAUUUUAUUUUGGUUUUCGUGGAAAAAUAAAAUUUGUUGACAAGCAAGAAAAUAUUUUUAUAUUUUAAAAUUUAUUAUGCAUAUUUUAUCAUAUUAAAGUAGUUUUAAUAAUAAAUAGAAACAUAAUAUUACGAUAAAUAAAUUAAAAUUUAACUUAUUUUGAAUAUUAUAAAAAAAAUUUUAAUAUUAUUAAUAGGAAGACAUUGUAUUAAUUUUAAAAUUUUUUAACCCAAAGGUUUAUUUAAAAUCUUUAUUAUAAAUACAAAUAUAAAAUUAAAUAUCAUAAUUUAAAAAUUUUAAUAUUAUUUUAAGUAUUAAAAAUAUUUUAAUGUUAUUAGUCUACUACAUAGAUCAUAUUACUUAUAUAAUAUUUGUAUUAUUAAAAAUUCUUAAAAUCAAAUUUUUAGUUAGUAUAUUCAUGAGGUAUUAUGGUUAAAAAAAAAAAAGACCUUAUUAUUACUUUUUAAAAAAUUGAGGGUCUGCGUGAUAAUUUUUUCAAAAAGAAAAUGCUUGGUAUGUAGGAGGGGUAGAGAAACAGGACUCCCAAAAUCUCUCACCCUUCUUUAAUUAAAAAUAAAUAAAAUAUUAAUAAAAAAUAAUAAAGAAAAUAGAAUUUUAUCUGCUCCUUACUCCAUUUUUGUAACUCUCUCACCAUCUCUGUCGAGCAGCCCUCUCUUUCGUUGUCUCUCACUAUUUCACGAUCUCUCUCUCACUCACACAGUCCUUUAAAAAAGCCCAAAAUAGGCCCAAUAAGCCCAUAAUUAAAAUAAUCGAAUCGAAUUAUUUUAAUUAAUCGAGUAUUUGAUUAUUUCGGUAAUUUAAUUAAUCGCAAUUAUGAUUUUAAAAUAAUCGUAAUCGAACGAUUAUGAAAAAUUUAGUAAAAAAACCGAACUGAACCGAACCGCACCCACCCCUACAUAAAAGAACAUCAAUUACUUGUCAUUUUCAAUUUUUUCUAUAAGCUAUUUAUUUUGAGCAUUAGUGAUCUUGUCUGGACUACUCCAAUUAUUGACGUAACUCCAGUGGCUGCAUCCACUGGAAAAAGUGGAUGAUAACAUUUUUUUUUUUUUCAUAAAGGUAACUACUCCAAUUAUUGACAUAAUUGAUGGUGCUUAAAUCAAUUUUUUUUUUAAUUUAAAGAAUUUUGCUUUAAAAAAUAAUUAAUAUCAAAAUGCCUUCAAUGUUGUUACCGCCACAAGCCCAGUUAGAGGACUCAUUAAAACUUUUAGAAUUUUUAGGCCUGGAAAGCAUAGUAUUAAACAUCAGAAAGCAAAGGUUGUUAUGUCGAAGAAUUGAUGUCGACAAAAUUUUAUUUUAGUUUUCGGAAAAAAAAAAUUUGUUGACAAGCAAGAAAAUAUUUUUUAUACUUUACAAUCUGCUAUACAUAUUUUAUCAUAUUAAAGUAAUUUUAAUAAUAUAUGGAAACAUAAUAUUAUAAUAAAUAAAUUAAAAUUAAAAUUACUUUGAAUUAUUAAAUAUUACAAAAAGAUAAUUUUAAUAUUAUUAAUAGGAAAACAUUUUUAAUUGUAAAAUCUUUUUAAUACAAAAAUUCAUUUAAAAUCUUUAUAAUAAAUACAAAUAUAAAAUUAAAAAUAUCAUAAUUUAAAAUUUUUAAUAUUAUUUUAAUAUUAAAAAUACUUUAAUAUUAUUAGUCUACUACAUAAAAUAUAUUAUUUAUAUUAUAUUCGUAUUGAUUAAAACGUUUUAAAGUCAAAUUUUUAAUUAUUGUAUUCAAAGGUACAAAAGAUUUUAGUAUUAUUUUUUAAAAAUUUUAGGAUAUGAAUGAUAAUUUUUUCGAAUUUUAAAGAUGUAAGAAUCUUUUUUUCUAAUAAUUUAUUUCACUUUUGAGAGAAUCCGAAAACGUUAAUUUAACAUUCUUUACCUUUGUGAAAAAAGUGAAAAUCAAGAACUAUUCAAUUUUGUUUUUAUUUGUAAUUCAAAAACUUUAUUCAUUUUCGAUGCUUUUCGAAAGAGAUUCCGUUAAAUCCUUUUGGUGUCGGCAGCUCCUGCUAUUCUCAUAAAUCUCCAUUCCACAUCUACACUAUCAAACAAGUUGAUGGAAAUUCUUAUAAAAAAAAAACAAGUCGAUGGAAAUUGAUCAAUUACUUUUUGAAGUGGACCCAUUGAGUCAUGUUCAUUUCUGGUCAUUGUCUACUCUUUCCAUCAGCCAUUUAUUUUGACCAUUUGCGAUCUUAAAGGAUAUGAGAACGUAGCUGAAGUGCUGAAGGGGCUAUUAAAGAAGAGUGUCACUUGAUCACAAUCACAUUGAUGCACAACUCACUCGUGGCAAAUUUCGACUAUACGUUCUGCAAAUUCAGCCAAACCAUACGUGCAUGAACAAAACUAAAAUGUAGUUCUAAUCACAACUCCAGUUAUGAUGUUUACCCCUCUGAUUUUUCUCCAAAACAAAUUCAGUUCAAAACAAUAAUCAAAAUAGCCACAUUUUGUUCGUCAAAAUAAAUGCCCAAAUUUUCAAUUAACAAAUCAUCUUCUCUAAACUAAAAAUCCCACAUCUCUAAAAUCAAUCUACAUAAUGUUGGAGAUGAGGGGUGAAUUGUUAACUCAGUAAAAAAAACUCAUGCAUAAUAUUACUAAUAAUAUAAAAUAUAUAUUAAUCAUUAUAAAGAAUCAUAAUUAGAAAAAUUAAUCAUUUUAUAAUUUAUUACACAAGUAAGAUAAAUCUCAUAAUAAGUUAUAACAUAAAAAAAACGUUAUCAAUAUAUAAUCAUUUAAGAAGUCAUUUAACAAUAAAAUCGUUCUUUAAUCAGUUGGUCAUGUCACAUAGUGUCAUCUAUAUUUACGGUGAUAAUAUUAUUACUCAGUAUUAUCAAAAAACAUGAUUUAACAUUUAGAGGAAAUUCUUGCCUUUUAAAAAAAAACAUGUAUGCAACAGCUACCCAUGCUUUAUCUUACCAUGACAAAUAUUUUCUCAAUGAAAGAAAAUUUUUUAAAAAUUGAUUUAAUGCACAAAUAUGAUGAUUUUUCCAAAAAUUAGUUUUGGAAAACAUAGUGAGAGAAAAUAGUGACGAUUAUUGUUUAGAUGUAUAAAUAGCCUAAACAUAAUCCUUAAUACCAAUAUCCUAAUGCAUCUUAUCAUCUUUCAUGAUAUUCUUUCAUUUAUGUCCAUUGGUUCAAGAUUUGAAUUUGAUCAUUAAAUCAUGUUCAAUAAUAUUAGAGAUUCUAACAAAUGAGUACCAACUUAAAUCCCAAUGUUAUGUGUCAUUGACCAAUUUUGUGUCAUUUUGUUAUUAACUAGGUGAUGAAUUUGUAGUUGAUAAAAUCACUUAAAAAUAUCUUAAAAAUCAAACAAUAGUUUGCUUAAUUUUUCCAAGUUAACUGCUCAAGAUGCUCUAUUAUAAAUAAUAACCUAAUUAUAUUCAUAAAAAAUGAUAUUUUUUUUGUGGUGUUGAUAAUGAGAUUAUCAUUCAACAUUUUAAAAUGUGAAAACAUAUGGAAGAUGGUUGUAAAUUGAUUGAAUGAAAACAUUUCAGUGAAGUCUCAAAAAUUUGGUACUUGUUGUCUUAUCGAAAGUUUUCUAAAUUAUAUUCGUGGCACAGCCACUAUCCAAACCAUACAAGUCCAAAGCUAUCCAAACCAUACCUGCAAGUCCGGGGCUUAAAUGGAGUACUUCUAAGCAAAAAAACAUUGACUAAAAUAGAAUAUAUACAUACAGACACACAUACAUACCAGCAUAUUCAAAAUAGCAAAAGGAGUGCAAAAGUUCAAGUUUGUAGACAACAUUGCAACCAUAGCAUGUUUAUAGCAAAUCCUCAAAAUCUGCUAAAUAAAACAAUGCCCUGUCUCAUGAAUCAAUGCUGAAUUAAAAUUGAAACUGAAAGUCUGGAUGGUUUUGUUUGUUGAGAAUGUCAAAUAAAACGGCAUUGAAGGAAGUUUUCAAAGGCAGAAUCCGCACUUGUCAAAGGGAUGACCUGCACUUGUCAAAGACACGAUCCGCGCCGAACGGAUCGACACAUUUCCUUCCGUAUUCACAUAUGUAAACUUUGAAAAAAUAUAGCUUCUGCAUCUAUAAAUAACGCUCAGUGUAUAAUGUUUUAUUCAAGAAAUAAAAACAAGUUUCUACAUGGUAUCAGAGCCAUGAAUGCGCUCAAGUUUCUUCAAGUUUCGCUGCUCUGUUUGUCACAAAAACAGAGGAAACCAAUUAAAUUCGUCCCACAACCAUUUUUUCCACCAUUUUCUUCCUUAAAAUCAUUCCUAACAUUACAGAAAUCCAUGCCGAUCAAAAACAUGAAAGACAAAUUACACAUGUGCAGUAACCAAUGAUCAUAUUUUGUUACUGUCAAACACAAUGCAUCUGAGCAAAACAUUGGAAGCCAACACCAGAAUACAUAUGAAUAAACAAUUAAAGAUAGAGAAAAAAGGCUUAAACCUUGGGGGAAAAAGUGAAAAAACAUGAAAGACAAAUUACACAUGUGCAGUAACCAUCGAACUUAUCAGUGACAGCUGCAUCUAUUACAUUGCUCCAACAACACAAGGGCAAACCACCAGUUUCAAAUUGAGGAUAGCUAUCGAGAAUGAGAAAGUGUCCAAAACGUCAUAAAUAGACAUGUUCCUAUUGUGCAUAAUUUACAUUAUAGGCAAAUAUUUUUAUACCAUCAAAGGCAAAACAUGACACUAACAAUUGAUCACCCCCCCCCCCCCCCCCCCCAACAACAAAAAAAAGGAAAAAACAAUACAGAAAAGAUUGAAACAGAUAAGGCUACACUGAGCACAGGAUGCCAUGAAACAUAAUCCAGGAACCAAAUUAAUAAAAAAGGAAGCCAAACCAUUAUUUAACAAUCUGUUUUGUAUUUGGGAAAGUCUGAUAAAAUCUACUUGGGGAUAAUUAGAGAACCUCAACUAUUAAUCACACCUCAUAAAUGAACUAACAUUAAACAUCUACCAUCCCAACGUCACACAAACAUUCUCUACACUUCUGAACCUAAUACUUCCAUCUUCAAUUGGGGGUUUUUUUUUUCUUUUUCUUUGGGGGGGGGGGGGGAUUGAAAUGCUGAUUUCGAAUCACUAACAGUAAAAUUGGAAGCUCAUGAAAAAAUAGUUUUAUCUCAAAAUUACAUCUCGAUAUAAAUUCUCUUUUCAUUUCCUUCAACUUUCUAAUUAAGCUUAAAAAAUGUACCUUCAACCACAAAGGGGUUUAAAAUUUAAAAUAUAAAAAAUAAAUUCAGAUAACAAUAAUUAAUUUAAUUAAAAAUAUAAAUAGAGUUACAGAGAAAGAGAAAAUAGAGAAAGACGUAAUGUUGAGUCCUUUGGCGCAAGUCUCUUCAUAGGUCCGAACCAUUUCUUCGGGCGUGGGUUUCGGGUCUUUAGGAUACUCCAUAGUGAUAAGCCAGUGAUUGUAAUCGCAACCCUCGAACAGAAUCGUGUCGGGUGUGAUCUCGUCGCCGUCCUUAUACAAGUGGUACGUCUUGUUAACCGACGGCGUAGACGAGAGGGAGAUCGUCGGGGACGAUCUGAACGGCCGAGAUUGGAUAAUGAUGGAGGAGGAGAAGAUUAGCGAUGACGACGCCGAUGAAAUGGAAGGGUUUACCAGAGGAGUGGAUGCGAAGAAUGCAGGGACGGCCGCAAAGAGAGAGCGGCGGAGAGCGGCGACGGACGGUAGUGACCGGCGGAGAGCGGAAGAUGGCGGUAUGGGCCAUUGCUUGCGCGUCAGUGAGUGUCUCGAGUGAGGAGUGAAGGGUUUUGUACUUUUGUUUAGGGUUUUGGGAAAUGAAAAAUGCAAAUGUUUGAUUUUGUUGCUAGAAACUUCUUCUGCCGCCGCUUUUUAUUUUCGCUAAAUAAUAAUAAUAAUUUGUUAAUAAAAUACUUUCUUAGAAAAGAUAAAUUUAUAGAACAAAAUUUAUAUUAAAUCAAAUUGUAAAAAUGUGGAAUAGGGCUAAUUUCUCCUGAAUAUUAUUAUUAGUAGAAGUAGAUUUUCGAAAUAGUCUUGAUAUAUUUCAAAGUUGUAUUAUAGAUGUACAUGUAUCUGGAUUGUAAUUAUAUUUUAAAAAAUAUACAUUUUUUUUCAUUAUUGCACAAUAAAUGUAGAAAGUGUCUAUAAAAUAAUAUUAUUAGAACUAUGAAAAUAUAUUAUUUUAGAGUAGUUAUUUAUUUAUUUUUGAAUAAAUAAUUUAUUAAUUUAUUAAUUUAUUGAUAAAUUAAUAAAUAUUAAUUUAAAGAGAGAUUUUUUUUUUUGGGGGUUUUUAAGAAGAGUUUUGUUGGUAUAUGUACAAACUUAUAAAGAAAUACAAAAAAUGCUUCCUCAAGUCAAUAGUAUUUACUUUAAUUCAUAAUAGUAUAGUUUAAUCAAGAAACUUAUAAUUAUACUAUAUCUUUCUUUCUUUGUUCUAUUUGGUGGGACAUUGUGAUAAAUCAUUGGAUUAAAAUGCAUUUCUAAAUGAAAACUUGUUAAAACCUAAUUUAUUUGGGAACGACAUUUUAUUUGUCAGUCGUAUUUCUCAACUUCGUAAGUUAUUUCUAAUUUAUCGGUCUCUAUUGGUUCUCUUAAGUACCUAUUUGGCAUGACUUAUUUAAUAGUAAUAAGUGCUUAUUUAAUCUCAUAAGUUUUUUCCCUCUCUGACAAUUGAGUUAGGGGGUCAAACUUGAAAGUAUCUUAAAAUUAGACAACAAUUUAACUAUUUUUUUUUUUUUAGAUAACUGCUAAUAUGCUCUAUUAGACAAUGAUGAGUGAUAACCUAGGUGUUUGCAUUUAAAGGGAUACUUUUUGUGGUGUUGAUAAAGAGGUUAAGUAUGAUUCAACAAUUUAAAAUAUGAAAACAUAUGGAAGACGGCCGCAAUUAAAUUAAUUGUAUGAAAAUAUUUCAAUGAAAUUUUAAAAAUUUAGUAUUUGUUAUCUUAUCGAGAGUUUUUUAAAAUUAUAUUACUACUUGAACUUGACUGCUUUUGUAUUUAAUUCCUACCGUUGCCAUUGCUUCUACUCAAAAGCCAUUUAAGUUUGUGUAAGCUACGUAUAGUUUGAACAACAAUUUACUCAUGAAUUGUUGUUCAUAAUAGCAUCAGUGCAUGCAUCAUUUUAAUGAGAAAGAAUAUUCUAAGAACGAAAUUGAACGUGGGAGGUAUCGGGAAGGAAUUGGAAUGGAAUAAUAUCGAUUCAUAUAGAUACAGAAGAAAAAGUUCUCUAUUGAUUCAAAUGCUGUGCCUAUGGGAUAAGGAUAGAGAAAGAGGAAAAAACCGAAGCCAGAAAUGUACACGCAUGAGGAACUUUUCCUAGAAGAUUGAUAUUUCUUUGACUAGCAAACCAUACAAGUCCAAAGCUAGCCAAACCAUACCUGCAAGUCGGGGGUUUAAAUGGAAUACUUCUAAGCAUAAAACAUUGAUUAAAACAGAAUACACACAUACAUACCAGCAAAUUCAAAAUAGCAAAAGGAGUGCAAAAGUUCAAGUUUGUAGACAACAUUGCAACCAUGGCAUGUUUAUAGCAAAUCCUCGAAAUCUGCUAAAUAAAACAAUGCCCUGUCUCAUGAAUCAAUGCUGAAUUAAAAUUGAAACUGAAAGUCCGGCUGGCGUUGUUUCCCUCUCCAAUUUUGCCUACAUAAGUGAAAAUAAGAAUAAUAAAUGAAAAUCUGCUUUUACGGUUCUUAUUAGAUAGAUAAAAGGGGGAUCUUUCUUUGUUUCUCUGCUGCAAUGUGUGGCUAUCCCACUCUGUUUUGCCACCCAAGCUGAGUCUAUGCUGAGACAUAAUUUUGACAUCAGAAGCAAUCUCAAUUAGUUUGGCACUUUUAAGCAAUCUCAUAUUUUGCUCACUUGAAGGUUUUACGAUAAACAUAAAUCUACAGAGAAAGUGGGAAAAAAAAAAGAAAAUGCAUAUAAAUAUAUGAGUUAUCAGAUAAGAUUAAAACUCACCCAAUUCAAUCCAUCAGAUUCCGUAAGGAUAUAACUGGAUGUCAUACCGCCACUCCAUAUCCUUGAAAGUCCGUAGUGUUUGUCUCAACUCUGUCUGAGGCCAAUGUAAAUUCAAUUUGCGCAAGCUCUUUAUGCACCACAGCUCUUCUGGAAGCUUUCUCAAGUAAGCACAUGGGUUGACAAUUAAGCUUUCAAGUUUCGGCAUUGCUCCAGCCCCCAUCGUCCACUCAUCUAGCCAAUACAUUGAUUUCAGGUGCAAAACCUUAAGUUCCGGAAAGCUACUCAAGCCAACACAAGCAAGCUUUCUUCCUAAAUACGAGUUCUGCUUCAGUUUCAGCACUCGAAGGCGUGGAAGAUUUUCCAGAAUUGGCAUGGGAUCCUCCAUUAGCUCAGUAUUUGAUAAGCUCAGUUGGAUCAGACUUGGGGGAAAUUGGUAUUCAGACAGGACCAUCCGUGAGGGCUUGCUCUCAUUCACCAGCUUCAAGCAUUCAAGUUUGUGGAGUUCGCAAAGGCUUUUGGAAACCGCAGAUUGAUAGUAACUCAAAUCUCCAGAUAUCCGAAGAGUCUGAACACUAGGUAGUCUGCCCAAUAUAUCAGGAGUACAACUACUAGGGUUUAAAGCUGAUAUGAAAAUGAGAUUUUUCAGAGAGCUGGAAUAAUUUUUUGGAGGUGCGGGCAGAGUGAUAGAACCAAAGUUUAGAUGCAUGAGUUUUUGCAUCAUCCAAAUAUCCUCUGGUGACUGAUCUAUGUAGCUAGAUGGCAUUUCUAGUGUUUCAAGGUUUAAAAGGGUGCAUAGCAGCGAAGGAAGGCGUUUGAGCAAAGGGAUAUUCAAUUUCAAAUACUUCAAAAGGAAUAAAUUUUCUAAUCCGGGUGGAAAUUGGUCGAGAACUGCAGAACCGAAGUUCAGUACCCGAAGGUGUUUGAACUUUUUACAAAAAUUCUCGCAAUCUAUCACAGCGAGAUGAUCGCCUUCUAAACUUUGAUUGAUAAAAGAUUGGAGAUAGAUCUCACCAUGUUCUAAAGAAAUGAAGUCAGUCAGAUGUUCCAAAAUGAUGUAGCGUUUAACAUUUGCAAAUGGUUCCGCUUCCAUUCCAGGCAUCCAGAGAAAUUUCGUCUUGUCUGCCACCAAACCCAAUGAAGUAUAUACAAAACUUGGAACAUAGCAAGCUUUAAUUGUGCCGCCGGCUCUUCUCUUACUCACUUGAAUGAAGCCGCGAUGGAUUAGUUCUUUCAAGUAAUGUUCGGCAGUUUCUUCACCGUUGUAUGGUAUGAAACCUUCAGCUACCCACAACUGAUAUAAUUGCUCCGUAGAUAUCUCCAUACUUGGAGGGAAGACCAACAAAUAGAUGCAGCAGACCUUCAAGUGAAAAGGUAACUCCAUCACAGAAAAAAUUUGUCUCCAAACUGUCGGAAUCGCUUCGCCUUGAAGAUAAUUUUCUAAUGGCAUACUUCCAUAGUGUAGGAUGAAAAAUUGCCAGGCUUCAUGCUUUAAUCUUAUCAAUGGUCCUCCAAUGAGCACUGAAUCACGCCGAAUUUCCUCUCCAUUUUCCAUUUCCAACGACACAAGGAGGUCUGGUUCAGUGACUGUUAUCAAUACUCUGCUUCCAUUCUCAUCAUCAGGGAGAACUUCUUCCAGAUCAUCCCAUAUCUCACAGUCAUCGAAGACGUCAUCAAGCACAAUAAAAUACUUCUUGUUUGUUAGGUAAUCUCGAAGAAUAGAUUCCUUGAAUUGAUAAUCUUCACCGAUAAUUACACUAACCCGAGAUGGAGGCAUCACAGACUUGAUUAUGUCAUCCAAUAUCUUGCGAAAAUCGUAGAGUAGAGAAACCCUGACCCAAGCAAGACAGUCAAAAUAGAACUUGACAUAGUUAUUAUUGUAAGUAUCUGCAGCAAAAGCAGUCUUAUCGAAGCCACUGCUGUCGAGAAUUGCAACCACUGAAAGCCCAGAUGGUCCCUCAAUCAAUAGAUCAAACAACUCCUCUCUGCCCCUUUCAAAUUCACUGAUAUCAAGCCGAGGAUGUCCCUCAUUCAAUAGGCGAAUCAUUUCGUUACUUUUUUCACUGAUAUCAAAACCAUUGUCGCCGGGUGGAAGUUGUUGCAUCCGAUUUCUAAUAUCAAUGAUUUCACUGUGGAGUCCAUCAGGAAGAGCCAUAUUAGUGCUGCUUUCACUUUCGUUUUCACUGUUUUGCUGCUGCAUGAUGUUGAUGAAGAAUGUGUCAAUGACUUCCUCAGAGUCACGGACAAAGUUAUUGAUGUCCUUCAGAAUUUCAAAAAUAUCUGCUGUUUCAACGUCUUCUUCAUCGCUUUCUUCUAAGUCCAACAGUUGCAAAAAAGGCAAAGAUAUUUUGGAGUCAUCGAUAUCUUCUCUAAGGAGUUGAAUCAAAUGCCGAGCCAUGUCGGCUUCAUAGUUUCCCAGAAGAGUAGUAGCAAUAAUUUCGGACUCCGUAAGAAGGUUUUGAAAAAGUGGAGUUAAAUUUGUUGAAUCUGGCAGAGGCAACGUGCCUUCUUCACCUGCUAACACCCUUUUCAACCUCUCACAAAACAGUCGGAGGUGGACGUCCAGCAUAUCUCCUUCUCUCUGUAGCACCCAGAGGUAUUGUUUUUUGCUCCAAGAAAUAUUAAAAGGAUUGGUUCUAUCUAAAAGUGGUUACUGGUGUAAAAUUAAACGCCAUGGGAGAAUUUGAAAGGAAGAUGCCAAGGAACUGGCGAAGUGGCUAAAUUCCACAAAUACGGCAUUAUUGCUCAUUUUUAACUCAAAAAAUUGAUACGCCUUCAUUUAGCGAAAAGUCCAAGACGCUUGCCUUUUGAAAAGAAGAGGUAUCCAUAGAUAUCCAACAUUUAUCUUAUUUUAAUUACUACCACGACAUGAUUGAUGGUUGUUAAAUCAAUUGUUUCUUUUUUAAUUUAAAGAAAUUUUCAUUAAAAAAUAGUUUAAUAGACACAUAAUAUUACAAUAAAUAAAGUAAAGUUUAAAUUAUUUUGAAUAUUAUAAAAAAUAAUUUUAAUAUUAUUAAUAGGAAGACAUUUUGUUAAUUUUAAAAUCUUUUUAACCCAAAGGUUUAUUUAAAAUCUUUAUUAUAAAUACAAAUAUAAAAUUAAAUAUCAUAAUUUAAAAUUUUUAAUAUUAUUUUAAGUAUUAAAAAUAUUUUAAUGUUAUUAGUCUACUACAUAGAUUUUAUUAUUUAUAUUAUAUCUGUAUUGAUUAAAAUUUUUUAAAGUCAAUUUUUUAGUCAAUAUAUUCAAGAGGUAUUAUAGUUAAAGAAAAGAUUUUGGUGUUAUUUUUUGAAAAUUUUAAGGUUUAAAUGAUUUUUUUUUUAAUUUUAAGGAUGUGGGUAUUAUUUUUCCGACAAUUUAUUUUAUUUUUGGGGAAUCCGAUGAGAAAUAUCAUGAGAGAAGGUUAAUUUUACAUUCUUUACCUUUAUGAAAAAAGUGGAAACCAAGAACUAUUCAAUUUUGUAUUUUUUGUUUGUAAUUCAAAAAAUGCAUCCACCAAACAAGCUUAUCUUGAUUUUCCCACUUUAUUCAUUUUCGAUCCUUUAAUCCAUCUAGCAUCUGCAGCCCCCGCUAUUUUCACAAAGAGUAAUGAUACAGCCACAAAUUCUUGUACAAAUUUAUUUUGUAUAAACUGACGUGGCAUGAUAAGAUUGGUUGAAUUAAAUAUCACUUGGCCCACAUGAUUUGUUUUUAUUAUUUUAUAUUUUUAUUCAACCAAUGAAUUAAUGCCACGUCAGUUUGUACAAAAUAAAUUUGUACAAGAGUUUGUGGCUGUAUCAUUACUCUGUCAAGAAUCUCCAUCCCACAGCUACACUAUCAAACAAGUUGAUGGAAAUUGAACAAUUGCUUUUUGAAGUGGACCCAUUAGGUUAUGUUCAUUACUGGUCAUUGUCUAUUCUUUCUAAGAGCCACUUAUUUUGAGCAUUAGCGAUCCUAUCUGGACUACUCCAAUUAUUGAUGUAACUCCAAUGGUUGCAUCAACAGUUGAAUGUAAGAUAGUGUCAGUUCUUUUUUGAGAAUAUAGAGGGAUCUUUAUUUGUUUCUCCGUUGCAGCGUAUUAGUAUAAAUUUCUUGACCUUACAGUUCCUACAGUCUUCCUGUUAAUGAAUUCGCUGAGGCAUUAUUGAUCCAAUCUCAGUGAAGUAAUUGUGGGUGAAAAAAAAAUAAAGGAUAAGAGAACGUAGCUCAAGUGCUGAAUUGACUAUUAAAGAAGAGCGUCACCUGAUCACAAUCACAUUGAUGCACAACUCACUCGAGGCAAAUUUCAUCUAUAUAUACUGCAAAUUCAGCCAAGCCAUGCAUGCAUGAACAAAACUAAAAUGAAGUUCAUAAUCACAACUGUAAUUAGAGCUACAAAAGGUGGCAAACCAUACAUGCAUGAACAAAAUUAGACAUAAAUUGAAGCCACAACAUUAAUUGAAGCCACAAAAGCCAGCAAAUCCAAAUGAAAACUUAAAAGGAAGAUCUUAUCGAAGUUUGUCCCCAAAAGACAGCGGAAAUGAAAAAUAUUGACUAUCGAGUGGAUCAAUGCUGAAUUACAUUUGACCUGGAAAGCUUGGCUGCAGUUGCGAUGUUCCCCCUCUGAUUUUCCCUAAAACAAAUUCAGUUGUAAACAAUAACUGGAGUAGCAACAAUUUAUUCAUUAUAGAAAAUACCUAAAUUUUCAACUAUCAAAUCCUCUUGUCUAAACUAAAAAACUCAUAUCUCUAAAAUCUAUAUACAAAAUGUCAUAAAUGAGGGUGAUCUCUCAAUUCGGUAAACAAAUUCAUGCAUAAUAUUACCAAUAAUGAUAAAUUACAUAAUAAUUAUUAUAAAGAAUCAUAAAUUGGAAACAUUAAUCAUUUUAAAAUCUAUUACAUAAUAAAAAUAAAUCUUAUAAUAAGUUACGUUAGAACAUAACAAAUAUUUAAAAUGAUAUAUAUAAUUAUUUAAGAAGUCUUUUAACAAUAAUUUUUUUUUUCUUUUUCAGUUGAUCAUGUCAUAGCGUUAUCUAAAAUGCUAGCGAUAUCAUUAUUCCCCACUUUUCUCAAAAAAAAGAAAAAGAUAAAGAAAAAAGAAAUAUGAUUAACGUUUGGAGAAAAGUCAUGCCUUUUAAAAAGAAUAUGUAUACAAUACCAAUUCAUACUUUAUCUUACCAUAAAAAAAUUGUUUAAAAUAGAUUUAAUGCACAAAUAUGAUGACUUUUGGCAGAAAUGAGUUUCGGAAAUAUUGGGAUGAAAACCAUAUUGGUUCAGACUUAAAAUUACUUAAUAAAAUUACUUAACUACCAUUUAAUAAAUAAAAAUCAUAUUAGUUGAAAGUUAAAUUAAGAUUUAAAUGUUGAGAUAUCUAACGUUACUCAAUCAGAAUAAACAAUAAUCAAUUCAAAUUAUGACUAUCAUGUAGAAGCAAAUGUUUAUGCUUGGGUCUUUUACUUCUUGAAUUUGAUUGGAAAAAUUUCUGAGACAGGGAAGUGAGUGUUUUGGAUAAUAUUUUUCGGGAUUGAAACCACAAGUUGGUCGAGGAAAAUAAUUUUGGACAAAUUUUUAUUAUAUUGUAGAACCUUUUUGGUUCCUUUUGUGUCGGCAGCCCCUCACUAUUCUCUUAACCCUGAGUUUUGAGAUAGAAAUUUCCCGAACUCCAACCCCACAUCCACAGACAAGUUGAUUGAAACAAUUGCUCUUGUAAUUAAGAGGAUGAGUUAGGGUUCAGUUCUUAUCAUUGUCUGUUAUUUCUUUGAAUCAUUAUCUUAGUUAAUUACAUCAAUUGUUUCUUUUCUUAAUUUAAAGAAUUUUUCUUUUAAAAAAAUAUUUUAAUAUCAAAAUGCGUUAAAUGGUAUUACUGCCGCAAUCCCAGUAACAGGAUUAAUUAAAAAAAUAUUCUUAGGAAGAUAUUUUGUUUAUUGUAAAAUCUUUUUAACCCAAAGGUUUAUUUAAAAUCGUUAUAAUAAAUAAAAAUAUAAAAAAAAAUAAAUAUCAUAAUUUAAAAUUUUAAUAUUAUUUUAAAUAUUAAAAAUACUUUAAUGCUAUUAGUCUACUACACAGGUUAUAUUACUUAUAUUAUAUUUGUAUAAAUUAAAACUUUUAAAGUUAAAUUUUUAAUUACUAUAUUGAAAAGGUAUUAUGGUUAAAAAAAGUUUUGGCAUUUGUUUUUUGAAAAUUUGAGGGUCUGCAUGACAAUUUGUCCAAAUCCUAGAGGUAUAGGUGUCUUUUUUUUUCGAUAAUUCAUUUUACUUUUGAGGGAAUCCGAUGAGAAAUAAGAUAAGAGAAACGUCAAUUUAACGUUCUCUAGGGAAAACCAAGAACUAUUCAAUUUUGUAUUUUUUGUUUGUAAAACAAAAAACAGUUUGCCAAAAAAGGUACCAAACAUAUCCUUAAUGUCUCACAUGAUUUCUUAUUAAGUCCAUACUCGAUAUAUUUAUACAUUUUAGGUAUUUUAGUUAUAAAAGAAGUUGGUCCUCCCUCUGUUUAUAAAAGGUAACUUUAUUUCGAGAUUACCACUAAAGUCUUACAAAGAAUUAGUGUAAUGUUAAGAGAGACUAACACAGUUUUCCAUUACCAUUUUGAAAAUAGAAAGAUAUGGAUGUGUGCAUUUAAUGGUGCGUUUACUUGCCGGAUUGGGGAAUCAGAAUCUGGAAUCAGAAUGAUUGAUGGUGUUUACUUCACAAAUAUGGAGCAGGAAUCGGAAUUGGAAUGGUGGGGCCCACCACUAUUUGGGAAUGGGAGAUUGAUUCCCAUGGGGGAAGGUGGGAAUGAGUCUCUCAUUCCCUGGAUUGACCAUUUUGCCCUCCCUCAAAAUUAAAAAUGCCUACUUUGUCCUCUUUUAUAAUUAAUUAAUAUAAUAUUAUAAUUAAUUAAUUAAUAUAUAAAUAUUUUAUUAACUAUAAUUAUUAAAAAUUAUAGUUCUUGAAUAAAUAAUCACAAUAAUUAAUUUAUUAUUAUUAUUGUUAAUGAAUUAAUAUAAUUAUUACUAUUAAUUAAUAUAUUAAUAUAUUAUUAACAAUAAUAUAUUAAUAAUUAUUGUUCGUGAAUAAAUAAUCACAAUAAUUAAUAUAUUAUUAUUGAAAUUAAUUAAUUAAUAUACUAUUAUAAUAAUUAUUAUAAUUAAUUCAUAUAUUAUUAUUAAUUAAUUAAUAAAAUUAAAAUUAUUAAUUAAAUAAAUAAUAUAAUUAUUACUACUAAUUAAUAUAUUAAUAUAUUAUUAAAAAUAAUUAUUAAUAAUUAUAAUUUUUGAAUAAAUAAUCACAAUAAUUAAUAUAUUAUUUUAAUUAAGUAAUUAAUAUUAAUAUUAUUAGUUAAUAUAUUUUUAUAAUAAUUUUUGAUAUAGUUAUUAUAAUUAAUUAAAAUUUUUUACAAUUAAUUAAUAUAUUAGUUAAUAAUAAUUAUGACAAUAAUUCAUUAAGUACUUUUUAGUAAUUUGUUACAAUCUAAUUCAUUCCGAUUCCGAUUUCAAGACAAAGUAAACACAUUAAUGGCAAUCUAGCUCAUUCCGAUUUCGAUUCUUACAGUUCAAGUAAACAACUUAUUUUGAUUCCCAUUACCUAUUCCCAUUCCAGCCCAUUCUCAUUUCUGCCCAUUUCAAUUCCAGCUCAUUCCGAUUCCAGUUUAGUAAACGCAGCAUAAGAGUUAUCAUGAAAAUCAUACAAUUUAAUUUCCUGAAAUAUAUAUUUUAUUCACAUGUGCCAAAAGAAUAAAUAGAUAGAAAGUAAAUUUACAAUCCUCACUCCCUCAUAAUUGUUAAAGUGAAUAUGCAUUACAACUGUGAACUGUCACUACUUUAGCCCUUUAUUUGUUUUUUCAAUUAUAGUGUGAUGGAGACAGUGAACAUUAAGGAUAAAGUGCUCUGCUGAAAGCCAAACUUCCUUUGGCUAAUUAAUUUAGAAGUAAAGCAGAGAAUAAAGUCCUUGAUGCCUUCUGAAAUUAGAAAUACAUUUUAUAUGCUUUAAUUAUGAUUAUUUGGUAGACUAUUGACCAAAAGACAUGUUAAAGUAUAAAACAGAGCGAUUAAAGAAAAAAAAAAGGAGCGUUUGUGACGUAGAAUAACAAUUUGUAAGCAAAGUCCUAAUUUGAGUUGUCAAAAAGCAAACAUAACAGAGAAGGUAAGAGAGAUGCAAAAACAGAAAACUAUUAGCUUAUCUUGAUUUUCCCACUAUAUUCAUUUUCGAUGCUUUUCAAACGAGAUUCUUUUAAUCCUUCUGGCGUCUGCAGCCCCUGCUCUUCUUAUAAAUCUCCUUCCCACAUCUGCACUACGAACAAGUUGACUAAAAUUAAAUAAUGUUGGAGACGAGGGGUGAGCCGUCAACUUAUUAAAAAAAACUCAUGUAUAAUAUUAUCAAUAAUAUAAAAUAUAUAAUAAUUAUUAUAAAGAAUCAUAAAUUAGAAAAAUUAAUUAUUUUACAAUUUAUUUCUUAAGUAAGAUAAAUCUCGUAAUAAGUUAAGUUUAAUGUAAAAAAUAUUUUCAAUUUAUAAUCAUUUAAGAAGUCAUUUAACAAUAAAAUCUUUUUUUUGAUCAGGUGGCCAUGCCAUAGAGUAUCAUCUAUAUUCGUGGUGAUAUUAUUAUUACUCAAUAUCCUCAAAAGACACUAUUUAACAUUUAGAGAAAAUUUCUGCCUUUUAAAAAGAACAUGUAUGCAAUAGCUAGCCACACUUUAUUUUACCACGACAAAAUUGAUAGUGAUUAAAUCAAUUUUCUCAAUUAAAGAAAUUUUUUUUAAAUUGAUUUAAUGCACAAAUAUGAUGAGUUUUUGCAAAAAUUAGUUUUGGAAAAUAUAGUGAGAGAGAAUGGUGACGAUUAUUUUUCAGAUGUGCAAAUAGCCUAAACAUAAUCUCUAAUACCAAUAUCCUUGUGCAUCUUAACACCUUUCAUGAUAUUCUUUCAUUCAUAACCAUUUGUUCAAUAUUUGAAUUUGAUUAUUAAAUUAUGUUCAAUAAUGUUAGAGACCCCAACAAUUGGGUACCAACUUAAAUCCCAAUGCUAUGUGUCAAUGUAACAUAGCAAAAUCCCAUUAACAAAUGUUGUGUCAUUUAUCAUUAUUGAAUGAAUAAUUCGUUAAUUUAUUGAUAAAUGAAAAUUUAUUAAUUUAAAGAGAGAUUUUUUUUUUUGGUUUUAAGAAGAGUUUUGUUGGUACAUGUACAUACUUAUAAAGGAAAAACUUGUAAUUAUACUAUAUCUUUCUUUCUUUGUUCAGUUUGGUGGGAUAUUGUGAUAAAUCAUUGGAUUAAAAUGCAUUUCUAAAUUGAAACUUGUUAAAAUCUAAUUUAUUUGGGAAACGCAUAUUAUUUGUCAGUCGUACUUCUCAACUUAGCAAGUUAUUUCUAACUUGUCGGUCUCUAUUGGUUCUCUUAAAACUAAUAGUCUCGUAUCUCCCGCAUUUGAUAUCUUGCCAUUACUGUUGGCAUUAACAUGUUACCUGAGAUUGGGAUUCAUUAAAAUCCUCAAUGUAAUCGGUGGAACGAAUGGAUUUCUUCUGUUCACCAAUCCACCAAAAUUUCUGUAAUUAAAUUCAAAAGUCAAGAUCUAUGCUUAUAAUCUAUUCAACAGCUAAUAUUCUAUUUUAUAUUUACUUAAAUAUGAAGAGCUAUGCUUGUAGUUAACUUCAAAUGUGAUCGAAGCAGCCUUACAUCUAUAUAUUACUUAUGCCCAACCUUUUUUUUUGACUUCAUAUACAUUCUUUUCAUGUUAUUUACUCUUUUUUCCCCCUCUCUGACAAUUGAGGUAGGGGGUCAAACUUGAAAGUAUCUUAAAAUCAGACAAUAAUUUUUUUUUUUUAAAGAUAGCUACUAAUAUGCUCUAUUAGACAAUGAUAAGUAAUAACCUAGUUGUUUGCAUUAGAAAUGAUAUUUUUUGUGGUGCUGAUAAAGAGGUUGAUUAUGAUUCAACAAUUUAAAAUAUGAAAACAUGUGGAAGACGGCCGCAAUUAAAUUGAUUGUAUGAAAAUAUUUCAAUGAAAUUUUAAAAGUUUAGUACUUGUUAUCUUAUCGAGAGUUUUUUUAAAUUAUAUUACUACUUGAACUUGACUGCUUUUGUAUUGAAUUCCUACCGUUGCCAUUGCUUCUACUCAAAAGCCAUUUAAGUUUGUGUAAGCUACCUAUAGUUUGAACAACAAUUUACUCAUGAAUUGUUGUUCAUAUUAGCAAUUUGAUUGAAAGUGCGGCUGCACUAAUUUUCUAGAUGAAUUUUUUCCUACAUGCUUGUUCUCGUAUGACCCAAAAUCCUACUACAUCAGUUGUAUUAGAAAUUAAUCAACUGGGUUACAAUUAUGCAUCCCCACCAAUAUUUAAGCAAUUUAAUUACAGAAAUAUUUCUUGAGGAAAGAAACUCAUAUCGCCACUAGGCUUGUAAUGAGGCUCAUUUUUAUGAAUCUGGAUGGCAUUAGAUAUCUCUACGAAUAUUGGUGGGAGUAGAUCGCAGAUCUCUGGGCUAUACUACAAAGUUUAUGUACGUUGACUCUCAAUAAAUACAAACGAUUCUCUGAUAUGAUUCAAACAUCAGUGCAUGCAUCAUUUUAAUGAGAAAGAAUAUUCUAAGAACGAAAUUGAAGGUGCAAUCAGCAGCUAAAAUGAAGCCAGAAAUGUACAUGCAUGAGGAAUUUUUCCUAGAAGAUUGAUAUUUCUUUGACUAGCAAACCAUACAAGUCCAAAGCUAGCCAAACCAUACCUGCAAGGUGGGGGUUUAAAUGGAAUACUUCUAAGCAUAAAACAUUGAUUAAAACAGAAUACACACAUACAUACCAGCAAAUUCAAAAUAGCAAGAGGAGUGCAAAAGUUCAAGUUUGUAGACAACAUUGCAACCAUGGCAAGUUUAUAGCAAAUCCUCGAAAUCUGCUAAAUAAAACAAUGCCCUGUCUCAUGAAUCAAUGCUUAAUUAAAAUUGAAACUGAAAGUCUGGCUGACGUUGUUUCCCUCUCCAAUUUUGCCUACAUAAGUGAAAAUAAGAAUAAUAAAUGAAAAUCUGCUUUUACAGUUCUUAUUAGAUAGAUAUAAAUGGAUCUUUCUUUGUUUCUCUGCUGUAUUUUGUGGCUAUCCCACUCUGUUUUGCCAGUCAAGCUGAGUCUAUGUUGAGACAUAAUUUUGACAUCAGAAGCAAUCUCAAUUAGUUUGGCACUUUUAUGACCUCCUUAAAGGUUUUACAAUAAACAUAAAUCUACUGAGAAAGUGGGAAAAAAAAGAAAAUGCAUAUAAAAAUAUGAGUUAUCAGAUAAGAUUAAAACUCACCCAAUUCAAUCCAUCAGAUUCCGUAAGGAUAUAACUGGAUGUCAUACCGCCACUCCAUAUCCUUGAAAGUCCGUAGUGUUUGUCUCAACUCUGUCUGAGGCCAAUGUAAAUUCAAUUUGCGCAAGCUCUUUAUGCACCACAGCUCUUCUGGAAGCUUUCUCAAGUAAGCACAUGGGUUGACGAUUAAGCUUUCAAGUUUCGGCAUUGCUCCAGCCCCCAUCGUCCACUCAUCUAGCCAAUACAUUGAUUUCAGGUGCAAAACCUUAAGUUCGGGAAAGCUACUCAAGCCAACACAAGCAAGCUUUCUUCCUAAAUACGAGUUCUGCUUCAGUUUCAGCACUCGAAGGCGUGGAAGAUUUUCCAGAAUUGGCAUGGGAUCCUCCAUUAGCUCAGUAUUUGAUAAGCUCAGUUGGAUCAGACUUGGGGGAAAUUGGUAUUCAGACAGGACCAUCCGUGAGGGCUUGCUCUCAUUCACCAGCUUCAAGCAUUCAAGUUUGUGGACUUCGCAAAGGCUUUUGGAAACCCCAGAUUGAUAGUAACUCAAAUCUCCAGAUAUCCGAAGAGUCUGAACACUAGGUAGUCUGCCCAAUAUUUCAGGAGUACAACUACUAGGGUUUAAAGCUGAUAUAAAAAUGAGUUUUUUCAGAGAGCUAGAAUAAUUUUUUGGAGGUGCGGGUAGAGUGAUAGAACCAAAGUUUAGAUGUAUGAGUUUUUGCAUCAUCCAAAUAUCCUCUGGUGACUGAUCUAUGUAGCUAGAUGGCAUUUCUAGUGUUUCAAGGUUUAAAAGGGUGCAUAGCAGUGGAGGAAGGCAUUUGAGCGAAGGGAUAUUCAUUUUCAAAUACUUCAAAAGAUAUAAAUUUUCUAAUCCAGGUGGAAAUUGGUCGAGAACUGCAGAACCGAAGUUCAGUACCCGAAGGUGUUUGAACUUUUUACAAAAAUUCUCGCAAUCUAUCACAGCGAGAUGAUCGCCUUCUGAACUUUGAUUGAUAAAAGAUUGGAGAUAGAUCUCACCAUGUUCUAAAGAAAUGAACUCAGUCAGAUGCUCCAAAAUGAUGUACCGUUUAACAUUUGCAAAUGGUUCCGCUUCCCUGUCAGGCAUCCAGAGAAAUUUCGUCUUGUCUGCCAUCAAACCCAAUGAAGUAUAUACAAAACUUGGAACAUAGCAAGCUGUAAUUGUGCCGCCGGCUCUUCUCUUACUCACAUGAAUGAAGCCGCGAUGGAUUAGCUCUUUUAAGUAAUGUUCGGCAGUUUCCUCACCGUUGUAUGGAAUAAAGCCUUCAGCUAUCCACAACUGACAUAAUUGCCUGGUAGAUAUCUCAAUGCCUGGACGGAAGACACACAAAUAAAGGCAGCAGACUUUCAAGUGAAAAGGUAACUCCAACACAGAACAAAUUCGACUCAAGAGUGUCAAAACCACUUUUUCAUCCAUAUAAUUUACUAAUGGGGCACUUCCAUAGUGUAGGAUGAAAAAUUUCCAGGCUUCAUGCUUUAAUCUGAUCAAUGGUCCUCCAACAGGCACUGAAUAAAGCGGAAUGAUCCCUCCAUGCUCCAAUUCAAAAAAGGUAAGGAGGAAUGGAUCAGUGACCAAUAUCAAUACUCUGCUUCCAUUCUGCUUAUCAGGAAGAACUUCUUCAAGAUCAUCCCAUAUGUCACUGUCAUUGAAGACAUCAUCAAGCACAAUAAAGUACUUCUUGUUUGUCAGGUAAUCUCGAAGAAUAGAUUUCUUCAAGUGAUAAUCUUCACCGAUAAUUACCCUAGCCCGAGAUGGAGGCAUUAAAGAAUUGAUUAUGUCAUCCAAUAUCUUGCCAAAAUAGUAGCCUAUAGAAACCCUUACCCAAGCAAGACAGUCAAAAUAGAACUUGACAUGAUUAUUAUUGUAAAUAUCUGCAGCAAAAACAGUCUUAUGGAAGCCAUUGCUGUCGAGAAUUGCAAUCACUGAAAGCCCAGAUGGUCCCUCAAUCAAUAGAUCAAACAACUCCUCUCUGCCCCUUUCAAAUUCACUGACAUCAAGCCAGUGUUGUCCCUUACUCAAUAGGCGAAUGAUUUUGUUACUUUGUUCAGUGAUAUCAAAACCAUUGUCGCUGGGUGGAAGUUGUUGCAUUCGAUCUCUAAUAUCAAUGAUUUUACUGUGGAGUCCAACAAGAAGAGCCAUAUUAGUACUGCUUUCACUUUCGUUUUCACUGUUUUGCUGCUGCAUGAUGUUGAUGAAGAAUGUGUCAAUCGCUUCAUCAGAUUCAUGGACAAAGUGAUUGAUGUCGUCCAGAAUUUCCAAAAUGUCCCGUCUUUUUACGUCUUCAUCAGUGUCUUCUAAGUCUAACAGUUGCAGACAAAGCCAAGCCAUUUCAGCUCCAUUGAGUUGUUCUCUAAUGAUGCGUCGAAUCACACGACGAGUCAUGUCACCUUCAUAGUUCCCGAGCAGAGUAGUAAUAAUUUCAGUCUCCGUAAAAAGGUUUUGAAAAAGCGGGGCUAAGUUUGUUGAAUCAGGCAACGUUAACGUGCCUUCUUCACCUGCUACCACCCUUUUCAACCUCUCACAAAAUAGUCGGAGGUGGACGUCCAGCAUAUCUCCUUCUCUCUGUGGCACCCAGAGGUAUUGUUAUUUGCUCCAAGAAAUGUUAAAAGGAUUGGUCCUAUCUCAAAGAGGUUAGUGGUGUAAAGUUAAACACAAUGGAAGAAUUUGAAAGGAAUAUACCAAGAAACUGUGUAAGUGGCUAAAUUCCACAAAUAUGGCAUUGUUGCUCAUUUUUAACUCAAAAAAAUACACGUUAAUUUAGCGAAAAGUCCAAGACACGUGCUUUUUGAAAAGAACAGGUAUCCCAAUAGGUAUCCAACCUUUAUCUUAAUCAAUUACUACCAUGACAUACUUGAUGGUGCUUAAAUCAAUUUUUCUUUUCUUAAUGUAAAGAUUUUAUUUUUUUAAAACAGAUUUUAAUAUCAAGAAAAAAUAUCACUCGUAUAUCCUUAAAUGACACUUGUAUCAAACGUACUACAACACUUUUAACAUGUAUCACUUGUAUACCUUAAGUUGACAAAUUGUGUCUACCAUCCACCAAACCGUUAGUUGCCGUUUGCAAGCGCUGACAUCAUAAAGGUAAUCUAGUCUUUUCAAAUGGAAGAAACUUUGAUUAAAAAAACGACAUGUCAUCCCAUUUACCUCGUAAAAAAUGACAUAUCAUAUGAUAUAUAUUGACAAAAAAUGACAUGUCAUCCCAUUUAUCGGAAGAUGAUGUCAUCUAUGUGAAACAACGUUGUUUCAACGGGACUAAAAAAAAAAUGAUACUCCACAACCGAAUCGACUCCUCCAAACUUUAACUUGAAUAUUUGAAGAUCUACUCAUCCAAGCUCCAACUGGAAUUUUUUAUGGUAUAAUAUGUUGUUAAUAAUUUUUUAUGGUAUAAUAUGGAUUAUUUUUUAUGGAUAAUUGUUAAUAAUACGUACCAUUAAUAAUUCAUUUUUUAAUAAAAAAUGUAUUGUUAAUAAAAAAUAAAAAAUAUAUUGAAAAUUUACGUUAAUUUUUUGGGCAAAUAUGUAUUUUUACCUUAUUUUGAGUUUCAAGGGCGAAAUAGUCAAUUUGUCAUAAUUCUGUUAACUUUCUAAUGGUAGCUAACAGUUUGGUGGACAGCAGACACAUUUUGUCAACUUAGGGUGUACGAGUAAUACAUGUUAAAAGUGCUGCAAUACGUUUGAUACAAGUGUCAUUUAAAGGUAUAUGAGUGAUACAUGUUAAAAGAGUUGUAGUACAUUUGAUACAAGUGUCAUUUAAGGGGAUAUAAGUGAUAUUUUCCCUAAUAUCAAAUUGCCUUCGAUGUUUUUACAGCUACAAGCUCAGUAACAGGAUUAAUUAAAAAGUUUAGAAUUGUUGGGCGUGCAAAGAGUAGUUUUAAACACCAGAAAGCAAAGGUUGUUAUUGACAUAAUUUUAUUUUUGUUUUCGAGGGAAUUUGUUUUUUUUGUUGACAAGAAAAUAGUAUUAUAUUUUACAAUCUAUUAUACAUAUUUUAUCAUAUUAAAGUAAUUUUAAUAUUAAAUGGAAACAUUAAAUUUAAAUUAAUUAAUUAAAAAUUGAAUUAUUUUGAAUAUUAUGUAAAAAAUUAUUUUAAUAUCAUUAAUAAGGAGAUAUUUUGUUAAUUGUAAAAUAUUUUUAACCCAAAUAUAUAUUAAAUUUUUUAUAAUAAAUACAAAUACAAAUAUAAAAAUAAAAUAAAUAUCAUAGUUUAAAAUUUUAAUGUUAUUUUAAAUAUUAAAAAUAAUUUAAUGCUAUUAGUCUAUUACACAGGUUAUAUUAUAUUUGCAUUAAUUAAAAGUUUUAAAGUCAAUUUUCCAGUUUCUAUAUUCAAAGGUAUAAUGGUUAAAAGAAAGUUCUUGGUGUUUCUUUUUAAAAAUUUGAGGGUCUUAAUGAUAAUUUUUCUAAAUCGUAAGGGUAUAGGUGUCUUUUUUUCCGAUAAUUUAUUUCACGGGUAUCCAAUAAGAAACAUGGUAAGAGAACGUCAAUUACUUAUCAUUUUCUAUUUUUUCUAUGAGUCAUUUAUUUUGAGCAUUAGUGAUCUUAUCUGGACUACUCCAACUAUUGAUGCAACUCCAGUGGCUGCAUCCACAGUUAAAUAUAUGAUAGUGUUAGCUCUUAUUUGAGAAUUUAGAGGGAUCUUUCUUUGUUUCUCUGUUGCAAUGUGCUAGUAUAAAUUUCUUUACCUUAAAAUUUAUAUAGUCUUGCAGUUAAAGAAUUCACUGAGGCAUUGUUGAUUCAAUUUCAGUGAAGCAAUUGUGGGUGAAAGAUAAAUGAAGGAAAAGAGAACAGAGCUGAAGUGCUAAAUUGGCUAUUGAAGAAGGAUGUCACAUGAUCACAAUCACAUUGAUGCACAACUCUCUGGAGGCAAAGUUUGUCUAUAUGUACUCUGAAUUCAGCCAAGCCAUACAUGCAUGAACAAAAAUUAAACCGUAGUUCUAAUCACAACAGUAAUUGAAGCUACAAAAGCCAGCAAAUCUGAACGAAGACUUAAAAGAAAGAUCUUAUUCAAGUUUGUCCCCAAAAGACAGCUGAAAUGAAAAAUAUUGACUGUUGAAUGGGCCAAUGCUGAAUUACAUUUCAAAUGGAAAGCUUGGCAGCAGUUACAAUGUUUCCCCCUCUGAUUUUCCUCCAAAACAAAUUCAGUUGUAAACAAUAACCGAAGUAGUAAUAAUUUAUUCAUCAAAGAAAAUGCCCCCAAGUUUUCAAUUAAAAAAUCCUCUUGUCCAAACUAAAAGAACUCAUAUCUCUAAAAUUUAUUUGCAAAAUGUUGGAAAUGAGGAGUGAUCCGUUAACUCUGUAAAUAAACUCAUGCAUAAUGUUAACAAUAAUGAUAAAUUACAUAAUAAUUAUUAUAGAGAAUCAUAAAUUGGAAACGCUAAUCAUUCUACUAUUAUAUAAGUAAGAUAAAUAUCAUAAUAAGUUAAGUUAUAAUGUAAUAAAUAUUUGCAAUAUAUAAUUAUUUAAGAAGUCAUUUAACAAUAAAAUAUUUUUUUAUCCAGUUGAUCAUAUAGCGUUAUCUAAACUCUUGACAAUAUUAUUAUUACUCACUUUUCUCAAAAAAACAUGAUUAACUUUUAGAGAAAGUCAUGUCUUUGAGAAAGAAUAUGUAUACAAGCUAUCCAUACUUUAUCUUACUGUGACAAAAUUGAUGGUGAUUAAUUGUAUUUUUUAAAAUAGAUUUAACGCACAAAUAAGAUGACUUUUGGCAAAAAUUAUUUUCGGAAGAUAUAGUGAUAGAAAAUAGUGAUGAUAAUUAUUGUUUAAAUGUGUAAAUAGCCUAAGCAUAGCCCGUAAUACCAAUAUUCAUUUGCACCUUGAAAGAAACUUAGUUCUAUAUUGUUUGGCAAGCAAGAAAGUAAAGGAAAAUGAAAGAGAACUCUAAAGAACCUUUUUUAUUAUACUCAGAUAUCUCAACUUAAUGAAUACUGAUUGACAUUUAUACUAAGCUACAAUCUUCACUACACACACGAGUUUGUAACAUCACAUAACCAUUUGCUGCAUAACUAACUUUACACAUCAGCUCAACCAGCUAACUAACUUUGACAGGUCAGCUCAGUGAGUUGAUCUGCUACAACCAGCUACACAGCAACAGCAUGCUCUGCUCCAGCUAUACAGCAACAUCAUGCUCUGUUCCAGCUUUAUCCGCUCUGCUUUGCUCUGCUCCAGCUUUGACAGGUCAGCUCAGUGAGUUGAUCUGCUACAACCAGCUACACAGCAACAACAUGCUCUGCUCCAGCUAUACAGCAACAUCAUGCUCUGCUCCAGCUUUAUCCAAUUCACUAACAUCCCCCCUCAAGCUAAAAUGUUUAGGAUGAACAUUCAGCUUGCUUCUGAAGUAACUGAAUUGUUUGAAAGUAAGAGCCUUAGUUAACACAUCUGCUGUUUGAUCUGGACUAGGCACAUAGCAUACUGCAACCUCUUUAGCAGUGACCUUAUCUCGGAUAAAAUGUAUAUCCAAUUCAACAUGCUUAGUCUUAGCAUGAUAAACUGGAUUAUAAGCUAAAGCAAUUGCUCCUUGAUUAUCACACCACAUUAUAGGAGUGGAGCUUAAUGUGAUACUAAGUUCACCAAGUAAGGAUUUAAUCCAGGUAACCUCUGAAGCAGCAUGGGCAAGAGAUCUAUACUCAGCUUCUGUGCUGGAUCUGGAAACAACAACUUGUUUCUUUGACGACCAGGAAACAAGAUUAGGACCUAGAUAAACAGCAAAGCCAGCCACUGACUUCCUAUCAUCAUGAUCACAAGCCCAAUCAGAAUCUGAAAAACAAUGUAAUUGCAGAGCUCCUUGAUUGUAGAAAUGCAGCCCCAGAUGGAUAGUGCCUUUUAAGUACCUCAAUAACCUUUUACAUGCUUCCCAAUGUUGAGUUCUAGGACUGGAAAGGAACUGACUUAACUUGUUUACAGAGAAGGCAAUGUCAGGUCUGGUAAGAGUAACAUAUUGAAGAGCUCCUAUAACACUUCGAUAUUGAGAAACAUUUUCAAGUGGCUCUCCUGAGUCUUUGGUGAGAUAAAAGCCUGUAGACAUUGGAGUUGGCACAGGACUGCAGUCUGUCAUGCCAUGUUUAUCCAGAAUAUUAGCAAUGUACUUUGCUUGUGUCAAGGAAACCCCUUGUGAAGAUUUGCUGACUUCAAUCCCCAGAAAAUAGUGAAGUUCCCCCAGGUCUUUUAAAGCAAAAGCUUGAUGCAUAUGCUGGAUAACUUGUUGAAUUAUGGAUGGACUGGAACCAGUGAUGAUAAUAUCAUCAACAUAGACCAAAACAACAGUUAGAUGACCACUGUUCCAGGCAUAAAAGAGAGAGUUAUCAGACCUGGAAUGCUGAAAAUGCCACUUGGAGAUCAUUGCAUCCUUAAACCUAUCAAACCAGGCUCUAGGAGCUUGUUUUAAGCCAUACAAAGCCUUAUUUAGCUUGCAGAUAUGAUUAGGUUUAGUUGAAUCAACAAAACCUUGAGGUUGAGCCAUGUACACAUCUUCAAUUAAAAUGCCAUUUAGAAAGGCAUUGUUAACAUCCACCUGCCUUACAACCCAGUGACUCAAUACUGCUAAGCUAAGAAUAACUCUAACAGUGGAGGACUUAACCACUGGACUGAAGGUUUCUGUGUAGUCAAUCCCAUGUGUCUGAUGAAACCCUUUAGCCACAAGCCUGGCUUUAUACCUUGAAACUGAACCAUCUGAGUUAUACUUUACUCGAAAUACCCACUUGUUGCCAACUAUCUUCACUGGAGUAGCAGGUAAGACUAAAUCCCAGGUGUGAUUGGUUUUAAGAGCUAGAUACUCUUCUUGCAUAGCUUUAUACCACAUAGGAUCAGAAAGUGCUUUGGAAACAGAGGUUGGUUCUGACUUCUGAGCUAGUAAAGCUGACAAGUAGAUCUUGGGCUUGAAGAUACCUGCUUUUGACCUGGUUAUCAUUGGAUGACCAGAUGAUGCAGGUUGUGACAAGGUAUGUGGAGGUGAAUGAUGGGAUGGUGAAGAAGGAGAAGAAGAAGUGGAAUUGAAAUUAUCAGAAAAGUAAACUGGAGUAGAAUUUGGGAAGGAAAUAGAAGCAUGUGACUGAGAAUCAUUAAGAAGAUAUUCUGAUGAUGCUGCUAAAGGUGCUUGUAACUGAGUAACAAAAGGAGUAGAAGAAUUAAAAGAAGACUCAGAAUGAGUUGAUGACUGACAGUUUGAAGAAACUGAAGAAAAAUCUGUUCCUGACUCAUAAGGAAAAGAACGUUCAUAAAAGGUUACAUGAUUUGAAAUAUAGACCCUCCCAGAAGAGUGAAGACACUGAUAUCCCUUGUGUUGUGAACUGUAGCCAAUGAAUAUACAUCUAGCUGUUCUGAAAUCAAACUUAUGUCUAUUGUAUGGUCUGAGUGUUGGAUAACAAGCACAGCCGAAAAUUUUAAGUGUUGAAUAAUCUGGUUGGGAAUGAAACAACUUUUGAAAAGGAGAAAUGCUGUUUAGAACUGGAGUUGGAAGUCUGUUUAUCAAGUAGACAGCUGUAUGGAAUGCAUUCCACCAAAAUUUGAGUGGUAAAUGUGCUUGAGCUAAUAAAGUCAGUCCUACAUCAACUAUGUGUCUAUGUUUCCUCUCAAUUUUUCCAUUUUGAUGAUGAAUGUGGGGGCAAGGAUGUCGAAAAUGGAUGCCAGAAGUGGUGAGUAAUGAUGAAAAUGUUCUGAACUCCCCUCCCCAGUCAGUUUGGACAGUUUUGAUGGAAAGUUGAAGAUGCUUCUCAAUGAAUAUUUUGAAAUUGGUAAAAACUUCAAGAGCAUCAGAUUUUGCUGAUAAGGGAAAAAUCCAGGUAAACCUACUGUAAUCAUCUAGGAUUGACAAGUAGUAAUUAUAUCCUUGGGUAGAACAAACAUGAGAAGGGCCCCAAAGAUCUGCAUAUAUCAGUUGUAAAGGUGCUGAAGUUUUUGUUUCUACUGAAUCAAAAUGCAGCAUGUGAUUUUUACCAUAUUGGCAUGCUGAACAAAAUUUCAAACUGUCAACUUUAUUAAAAGCAGUAGAGUUGUUACAAGCUUUGAGAAUGGUUUUGAGAGUAUAAGAUGCUGGGUGUCAUAAUCUUCUAUGAAGAAGAUUUACAUCAAUAGAACCCUUUACAACAACUGACAGACAUGACUUUUUAUUCAACUCAUAAGAGCUAACAGUAGAGAGCUGAGCAGAAUUAAAAACAGGAGAACAAGCAAAAAGAGACUGAAUUUUGUUUUGACCAACUGAACUGAGAAAGACUGAAUGAACAGCAGCAUGAGAAGAGACUUUAUACAAGCUGUUGUGCAAAUUUUAAUGUACUCGCAAGCGCACGAAUCUAUUAUAGUAUAGAUCAAUGGUGACGAGUGUCGAUCCCACGAGGAGGUAGAUUUUAAUUGUGUAUAGAAUUAAUUUUGCAAAUGGUUGAUUGGAUUUGUAGUGGAAAUGAUUAGGAAUAUGCUAAAACUUAAAUUAAAAUGGCGAGAAUAAAUUCUAAAAUUGGAAUUGCAAUGGCGAGAAUAAAUUGAAGAGAAAUGUAUUGAAAUGACGUACUUGGGUAUCUGGAUCCGUAUCAACAUGCAUCAUGGGCUAAAUAAUCCGUAUUAAUGCCAAUUAAAUCAUGAGGGGGGAAUCCACACCUCAUGAACCACGCUCUAAUCAAUAUGGUGCUAAGGGCUUAUCGUGCCAAAUAAUAAUAACCUUAUACUAGAGAGCCGGUGUAACCAAGGCGGUAUCUAGACAAGAUCAGUAUUAUUUGUCGACGAUAAGUCAAAUCAUCCACAAAAACUAGAGGGGAAAAGAAAAUAAAUUUACCAAAUAAAGCCCAUGACACAUGUUGAGACUUCACCUUCAACCCAAGCUUGAAAGGAAAUUAGCUACUCAUAAUUGAACUAGGGGCAAAAUGGGAAUUUAUUAAAAUACAAAGAAAAUACAAGAUGGAGAGGGAAUUACAGAAAAUGGAUCCCAAAAAUGGAUUCAGAGAUAUCAAAUUAGGGGGGGAGGCCCAUUUUUUAUAGAUACAUGGAGUAAAUCAUGGCCAUCGGAUUAAAAACAGUUUGGACGCUCAGGAUUGCGCCACGUCAUCAGUCAACAGUCAACGGUUUGACCACGCGGAUGAACAGUAACAUGGUUUGGUUGAAAAUAAUCCUGUGUGAUGCAUACACCGUACGCGAGAUUUUUCGUCCACUGAUAUGCUGCCACGUCACCAUCAACAGUACAUAAGAAUUUUAGUCCAACAGGAUCGUGACACCUCAUCAGUCAAUGCCACAUCAUCGGUCAAUGCCACGUCAUCGAUCCGUCUAUGUGAACAGUGUCGUGAACAGUAACGUAGACAGUACCGUAUACGUGAAUAGUACCGUACAUGUGAAUAGUGCCAUUUUUCCUUUUAUGCUCCUCCUAAGGUUUUCGACCGUCCUGAGUUCAAAAGUGAUGUCCGUUUUGCCGUCUGAUCUCUCCUUUAUUGUGAAAUGACUAUAAUGCCCCUAAAAUACAUAAAAUACUUAAUUAAAAUAACACACACGUAAUUACAUCACAAGAGGGUUAAAUACAUAAAAGUAAGGGUUGUUAGUAAGACUUGAAACGUAAAAUGACGGUUUUCUCCUUUAUAAAUAUGCAUUUUCUAACACUCAACACAAGCCACCUUUAGCAACACCUUCAAGUAAAAUUUUCCCUGUGUUCCUGGCCUUUAUAAAACACAAAUUACCAAGAAAUUCAACAGUAACUGGAUUGUCAGCCAACAAUUUUGAGAUGCUAAGCAAAUUCUUAGUAAUAAAAGGGACAUGAAGAACAUGGUUAAGAAAUAAGGAUUGAGAAGCUGAAGUAUUUAGCACAACUGACCCUACAUGUGUAAUAGCUAAUGCAUUUCCAUCUCCAACAAAUAACCUUUCAGUACCAGUGUAAACUUUUGAAUCCAGAAGCUUACCUAGAUCAUUGGUAAUAUGAUUUGUUGCUCCACUAUCAAUAUACCAGGAAGGAUCUUCAAUGUGUUCAGGUGGGAGUGAAGAAGACAUAGCAGAGGAGGAGGAAGCACUUGACUGUUCCAGAUUAUUAUGUCCUAGACAGAAACAAAAUUAGAUGAUCCAGGGUUGAAUGAGAAAUAAGCAGAUGGGUUGCUUUCUGGAUAUACUAUAUUUCCUUGAUAGCCAAAACCCCUGGGGGCAUUACCAAAACCAACAUUUUGUCCAAAACCAGCAUUUGAACCAAAACCUCCAAAACCUCUUCCACUAUUACCAUUAAAGGCUCUUCCUCGACCAUAUUGCCCUUGAUUAAAACCUCUGCCACCAUUCAUAUUACCUCUACCAUGGUUCCUCUGUGGAACAAAAGAUGAGUUGUACCUAUUUCUGCAUUUAUAGGCUGCAUGACCAGGUAUGAAGCAAAUUUGGCAAACAACUUCAGAGAAAUUACUAUUAUUAUUAAACUGACCAUAUCCAUAUCCAGAAUUAUUACCACCUCCAGAGUUAUUUCCAUACUGUUUCUGAAAAUUUCCAUUAUUCUUUCCAGCAUAUGAGUUCUUCUGAACAAUAUUUGCUGUCAUGUUAUGCAUCACAUCACCAGCAAUUUUUCCUUUCUUUUGCUCAACUCUAUUUUCAUGAUUCAACAGCAAAGAAUAUAGUUCAUCUAAUGUUAUCUUUUCACCUCGAGCUAACACAGCAGUGACUAAAGAUUCAUAAUCUGAUGAAUCAAGACCAGUUAAUACAUGCAUCACAAGAUCAUUUAACUCAACAGGUUUUCCAGCUAGAGCUAAAGUAUCAGCUAUACGUUUUACUUUUACAAAGUAAUCAGACAUAUGCAUUGCACCUUUCUUAAUAGUUUGAAUCUGCAUUCUAAGUGUUUGAAUUCUAGCUUGUGAUUGAGAGAUAAACAUACUAGCAAGAGUCUCCCAAAGCUGUUUUGAGGUUGUUGAGUCAAUCACAGUAGCAAGCAGAUUUUGUUGUAUCAAUGACAUCAUCCAACUCAGCAGAAGUUGAUCAGCCUUCAUCCAAGCUACGAACUCUGGAUUAACAGAUCUGGAUCCAGAUUCAGUAACAGAUCUGGAUCCAGAUUCAAUUAAGAUUUCAGCUCCAUUGUUGUUGCCAGAAGAAAGAAACUGCUCAGGACAUUCUCGAUCACCAUUGAUAAAACCUUCCAAACCAUUUCCUUUGAUCGAAGCUAGAAUUUGUGUGCGCCACAAAAUAUAGUUGUUUUGAUCUAGCUUUACAGGCGUAACAAAACUAAAAGAGUUGUUGUUUUGAACUGUAUUUGCCAUUUAUGGCUCUGAUACCAUGAAAGAAACUUAGUUCUAUAUUGUUUGGCAAGCAAGAAAGUAAAGGAAAAUGAAAGAGAACUCUAAAGAACCUUUUUUAUUAUACUCAGAUAUCUCAACUUAAUGAAUAUUGAUUGACAUUUAUACUAAGCUACAAUCUUCACUACACACACGAGUUUGUUACAUCACAUAACCAUUUGCUGCAUAACUAACUUUACACAUCAGCUCAACCAGCUAACUAACUUUGAUAGGUCAGCUCAGUGAGUUGAUCUGCUACAACCAGCUACACAGCAACAGCAUGCUCUGCUCCAGCUAUACAGCAACAUCAUGCUCUGCUCCAGCUUUAUCCGCUCUGCUCUGCUCUGCUCCAGCUUUGACAGGUCAGCUCAGUGAGUUGAUCUGCUACAACCAGCUACACAGCAACAGCAUGCUCUGCUCCAGCUAUACAGCAACAUCAUGCUCUGCUCCGGCUUUAUCCAAUUCACUAACACACCUUCAUUUGUGUUAUCACAUUUCAUGAUAUUCUUUCAUUUAUGACCAUUGUUCAAGAUUUUAAUUUGAUUAUAAACUAAGUUGCAAGGGAGCUUACUUCAGUUUCUAAGCUUUUCAAUCGUGAUUCCUGCAUGCCAAACGUAACUGACCUUAUAAUUGGUCUGUAUAAGAAAUCAAGCCCUUUCAGGAUCGUUUUCUUUUUCUCCCUAUUGUAGUAGUCAACUAAAUAAAGAAUGAACAACUAAACUUGGUCUAUUUCGAGGAAGACUAAGGCUUCCAAUACUAGAUGAACUUUGAAGAAAAUUAAUCCGUUGUUUUUAUUCAUCUUUGGACUAUGAAUUUAUACAAAGACUUUAACAGAAAAUAACAAAGACACAGCUAAAUGAUAGCAAUAAGUGCUGACUUGGUGGACCACUUCUGCAAGUAAAUAAAAACUAAAUAUUUAUUUUGACUAUAACAACAACUACGCUGAUGAAUAGGAUUUCACAGCAGCCACGUGACAACUAAUUUCUCCUUAAUAUUAUUAUUAGUAGAAGUAGAUUUUAAAACUAGUCUUGAUAUAUUUCAAAGUUGUAUUAUCAAUGUAUAUGUGUCUAGAUUGUAACUAUAUUUUAAAAAAUAUAAAAUUUUUAAUUAUUGCACAGUAUAUGUAGCAAAAUAUCUAUAGAAUGAUAUUAUUAGGACUAAGAUUUUUUUUUAUUUUAGAUAAGUUAUUUAUUUAUUAUCGAAUGAAUAAUUUAUUAAUUUACUGAUAAAUGAAUAUUUAUUAAUUUAAAGAGAGAUUUUUUUGGUUUUAACAAGAGUUUGUUUGGUAAAUGUACACACUUAUAAAGAAACAUAAAAAGUGGUUCCUCAAGUCAAUAGUAUUUGCUUCAAUCGCAAUGGUUCAUAAUAAUAUAGCAUAGUUAGGAAAUUUGUAAUUAUAUUAUGGCUCUGUUUGGUAGUAAAACUCAUUUAAGUAGAGUUGUUGUUAAUAGAGCUUUUAUAAAUAAAGCUUUUACUAAAAAAAAUUUAGUUGUUUGCUUGUCAAUGUCCAAAUUGAUAAACUUUUGUUCUUUUGUUAAGAUAUGUUUGUUUUACUUAAUAAUAGCAUCGGCAAGAGUUUUCGAUUGUUGCAACUUGCAAUGCACGCGGUGAGAGAAAAUGAGAAUCUUGUUUAAUUGUCAAUAUAUAAUGACAAACCUAAUCCUUUCAUUAGGAGUAAUUUAAUAAUCGUUUGUUAUAACUGAAUAUGUAUAAAGAAAGGAAAAUUCUAUUCAUAAAUUUCGACUUAUUUUUUGUUUAAAGUAAUUAAUCAUUCAACCAUCUUCAUUUGCCUCUGGCCAAUGCCCUUGUAGAUUAGUUUACUUAAUUAUGAUUAUAUACAUUUUCAUAUAGCAAGUGGCAUUGUAGAUCUAAACUAAGUUGCUAUUUCAAUACCAGCAAAUUCAAAAUAGAAAAGGAGUGCAACUAUUCAACUUUGUAGACAAUAUUGCAACCAUGGCAUAUUUAUAGCAAAUCAUUGAAAUCUGCUAAAGAAAACAAUGCCCUGUCUCAUGAAUCGAUGCUCAAUUAAAAUUUAAAUUGAAAGUCCGGCUGGUGUUGUUUUCCUCUCCAGCGAAAUAAGAAUCAUAAGUGAAAAUAGGCUUUGACAGGUCUUAUUUCUUUGUUUCUCUGCUGCAAUGUGUGGUUAUCCCACUCUGUUUUGCCACUCAAGCUGAGUCUACGUUGAGACAUUAUUUCAGUAUUGAGGUAACAAUAAUUUCGGACUCCGUAAGAAGGUUUUGAAAAAGUGGAGUCACAUUUGUUGAAUCAGGCAACGUCAACG
Molecule: long non-coding RNA, 80572 nt
Filed under: Citrus maxima (pomelo)
Lineage: Eukaryota; Viridiplantae; Streptophyta; Magnoliopsida; Sapindales; Rutaceae
Description: long non-coding RNA (CMAX_LNC001228)
Source: RNAcentral